GACAAUAUGCCUUGUUUUUCCCUUACUUUCUAUCUUAGAUUUAUCCCUUUUCCUUUUAAGAAUUAACCUUCCUUGUAACCUUUUGUUUUUGGGGGAAAUGAAUUAAUGUAUGGAACUUCAGACCACAUGGAACUACCAUUAAGUGGAUUAAUGGUAUGCUUGUAACAAUUCAAGAACAUGGUUGUAGCAACCAUGGUGCAACAUACUCCUCUACAUCCCUAUUGCGGUAUGAAAUGGAUGAUACUACAUGCACACAUGGGACACCUACUAGUCACCAAGAUCUGCAUCCACAUGUCCUGUUGUUAAGGUCCAAAUUAUAUCCAUCAUUUCCAAUCCUAACCUCAUAUUGUUGUAUCCCAGAAGGUACAACUCCCCAAAAUCCAUCCACAUAUGUGUAAGUUUUAGUAUAUACACAUUUAUAAAUAAACGUCACAAAAUACAUUUGGUGUCUCUUUAACAUUAAUAAUUAUAUAGAUGGGCAUAUGUUUAAAUUGUUCCAACUAUUUCUAUUUACGCUCUAAUUAUACAUCCUUUCCAUUGCAUAAAUAUGAAUUUCUUCCAACAUGGUGAUGAUUGGUCUCUUCCUAGCAACAUCAAUGGCAAAACUGAAACUUUUGAUAUGCCAUUUUCAUAAGCAUCAUAAGUGCUAUCUACUUGAAAGAAUGCCUUGCACCAACUUUUAGGGUCCCUUUUCUUGAGGUGUUCAUAAGCCAAUGGUUCAAUCUUUUUGAUUUCAUAAAAUUCUGCCUCAAAUUUAGGCUGGGUAGUACAACCAACAACAUCCCAAAACAUCUUCCUAAAUUGUUCACCUUUGAAUCUUUUCUUGAAGUUAGCAUAUAUGUGCCUAACACAUUGUCUACACUCGAUUACUAAAACCCUUAAUUUGAUAGCAUAUAGUAAUACCUGACAUAAAACAUGAUAUAUAGUUGAGUAAUACUAAAAGAAAACAUGAAAUAUGGUUGAAUACCACUAAAGAAAACAUAACACAAAAUAUACCUUGUGUUGGUCUGAUAUGAUGGUCAAUCCAUGACCAACUCCCAUUCCGAUUUCAUCCAACAGGAGAUCAAGAAACCACUUCCAUGUUUCUUUAUUUUCAACUACCACCAUAGCCUUGACAAUAGGAUAGAUGUGGUUGUUUUCAUCCCUACCAGCAGCUGCUAGCAGCUGAACUUUACAUAUACCCUUUAAAAAACAACCAUUUAUCCAUAUUACCCAUGGCAACUUCAAUCCACCUAUCCUUCACACCCUUAAAACAAACACAUACUUAGAAAAGUAAGAUGUGGAAUCAGGCAUGACAUCUACAUCUAUCUUUACUGUUGACCCAAGAUUUGUCCUCAUAAUUUAUUCUCCAUAACUCCAUACUUUACCAUAAUGUUCUAUCAAACUACCCUUCUCAUCUAAAACAUAUUUCCUAGAAUUUCUACCUUUACCAACACUAACAAUCAAGUUAAACCCAUACUUACCUUGGCUUUCAUUUUCCUUAUGCUCAUUUAGGGGUUCUACAAAAGAUGUUUCUUAAAAUGCUUCCCAAUCCAUUUGUAUGUUAUAAUGGGACCAAGUUUGAAGACUUGUGAAUAAUUAUGCUUAUCAAUUAACUUAAUAUGGAAAGACCUUUCCCUACUCAUCCAGGAAGCCUACAGUGUAAAAGGACAAGAAGGGUUCUUAUUAUCUUUACAACAUCUUAUUAACAACCUUUGACUAUCAUUUUUCUCAAAACAUAGGUUGUAGCUAUUCUUUACUGCAUAAUUAGUCACACAAUUCUCCAAUUCCAAAGGGUUAGAGAAUCUCAUACCCAAAACUGACACCAUUUUAUCCCAUUUCUGGUUCCUAUUAUGGACAUGAAACACCGGUUUCUCAUAUCCAUUGUUGGUUUCAACUUCAUCAUUUGUAUCCCUGGGAAUACCUGACGCCUGGUGCAAAAAGUCAUCAUCAACAGUCUUGUCAAGAGAAGGGACAUCAUCAUCUUAUUCAUGAUUAUAUGACAUAUCAUUAGAAAGUUGUGAAUUAUUAUCAUCAUCCAAGUCUUGCUCACAAUCAUGCCCUUCAUCAUCUUCUACUACUUGUAGAUCAACCCAAUCAAGUAUAGCUUCAUUUUCAUGGUCAAUAUACACACUCAUUCUUAGAUCAUUUUCAAUACUAUAACCAGUUUCAUGAAACUCAUAGAGCCAUCAUCAUUACUAAUUCUCUUAAUACCCUCUGCCAAUGUUUCAUUUCUAAUGCAUUAAUAAAAAUCAUCAAAACUCCUUUUAAUCAACUUUUGAAGGAACAAAAGAAACCCUUUAAGAUUCAUUGCACAGAAAUCAACAUCACAUAUUGAAACAACAACAAGAUUCAAGUACACUAACGAUUUUGGUGCGAAAAACAUUUACAAUGAACAUCCACAGUUAACUACUUACUUGGUGAUGAAUUUGAGACCAUCUUCUUCACAAUAACAGUCACAUUCAAUAAUUGUCUUCAAUUUCGUAACCCUAGUCUUCGAUUGACAUUACGGGGUGUAGAAUCGGGGGUUAAGGUGUUCGUAAUCGUGCGUGUGGAACCCGAGUUUAAGGAGAAAAGGGAUGAAGUGUGUUAGUUCCAUGUAAUACGACAUGUCAUUAAUAAUUAAACGAUGUAAUUGAAGGAAACCGACAAAACAGGUGAUUGUCGGUAAAAAGGGUUAUGAUGAACACAAACAACAAGUUAGAUAAUAUAUAACAUACAAAAAGGAAAUGGACCAAAUGUGAACAAAUCAAUAAUUAGUUACCCUUCUAAGUAUACCCACGACUCUCGUUUGGUGGUCUUCGGUCUUCAAAAUUUUACAAUCUUUCAAAUACAAUCUGCCAUACACAACAGUUCAUACAUUAUAUAGUUGUACAAUACAAUAUUUUAAAACACCAAUUGAUGUAUACGGAGAAAAAUUGUUGUGUACGGAUCAACUCCCAAUCUAAUUACAUUUAGAAUUAAAAGAAAAUACAUUACAUGAAAAAAAUGGCACAUAUGUUACGAAAAUACAAAUUUAAUAAAACCAAAAUACACCCAAAUAUCAUCAUAAACAUAGGUCUAUCCGAGACAGUUGGUUACAAGAUCCAUACAAUUAAUAAUAACAUUUUUAUAUAGUCUAAAAGUGUUUGACAACCCUUUCCGACAACAUAAAAUUGUCGCAAAAGGUUGUUUUAGCUUAAAUAAAAUUAUAAUAAAUAGUACUCAUCUUUAGUGAUCGUUUUAACUCUCACAAAACAACAGACCGGCUUUAUUAUAUUCUUUAUAAAAAAACCGUCAGUUUUAACGACACAUUUUAUAAGAAUAAUUACUUAAGUGAGUUGUGUCAAAACAAACUUUUAAUCAAUAUUUUGAUUAAGAUCAAAUCCAUACAAUUUGACACUUAAAACUUGGAUGAUUUGAUCUUUGUCAACAUGCUUUUAUGUUUUCAAAACGUUUUAAAACUCAUAAAACAUGUAAACAUAUUAUACACGAUUUUGUAUGAUUUCGAUGCCAUUAAAAUUACUUCAAAUUUGUACCAACAAAUCAAAACAGUAAAGAAUAUAGAAUAACAAAUUUAAACACAUUAGAAGAAAUAGAUUUUCCACUUUCCCAAAAAAAAAAACAAAUUUUGAAAUUAAAUUACAUAAUUAACUAAGCAACAAAAUCACAAACAAAUAAACAUCAUGAUUGAACCAUUGGAUCUUGUGUUUAUCAAUUAAUAACAAUAUACUUUAUGAACUACAAUAGGGUUAACAUGAUUAUUGAAAAAUUAAUGUGAAGAAGAAGAUCUAGGAUCCAAAGUAGAAUCUUUAUAAUGGUUUGCAACCAUUGGUUUCAAAAAGCAUGAACACCUUCAAGCUUGGAACACAAGAAAUUGCAAAACCCUUGUGUGUGUUCUCCUUGGUGCGCUUGGUAUAAGUUACAACUUUUACAACUAGAUGUGCAAAAAAAAUGAUCAAAUUAGGCCAAAUUAUAAAGUUCUAUAGACUACAUUAACAUCAAUCCUGGUAUAUCCGUGUCAUUAACAAAUCUUAUCUAAAAAUAUGGAAAAGAUGUACGUACGUUUCGGUUGAACUCAAUGGAUGGAUGGAACGAAUAGAGUUCGUAUUUCGUAAGGUAAGGAUAGGUUGGUGCUUAAAAAAUGCGAAUUCAAAAGAGAGAGGGCAGAGUUGUUUUAGAUGAAACUUGAAGGGUGUAAACUUGAUCUUAACCUUUUCUUUUUCACCCUCCCGACGAUAAGAUGUUUCGACGAGUCUCCGUUAAAUUACAGAUAACUGGUAUAUCGUCGUGGACAGGACCCAAGCCAAUACAACCUUCUUUCUAGUUCUUCAGAACCUAACAACGAUACUCGAUGCAUCUCGUAUGUUCUGCCUUCCCUCAUUCUUCUACGUAGAACCAUACCAAAUUGUCCAUUCAUAGUUCACAGAAACCAGUUUUCCAUUUGAAUUCCGGUUUAAAAAUGGCUGUUCUGCUAAAUUCGGUGCCUCCGAUGACAAGUCUAUCCACAGACCACUCCAGAAAAGCUCAGACUCCUCAAUUUCAUUCGUUUUCCCCCAAAAGUAGAUUUUCUAGGGUGUUAGCAUCUAGUCAGGUAGCAUUAGCUUCAAAAGACGCUGUUUUCACCCUUCCCAAUUGGAGAUCAGGUAGGACCGAUCCGAAAAACAAAGACUACAGGCUUAACGAUGCGUUCUUGUAUUUGGAAUACAUGGUUGGAAAAGGUCACAAACCUGAUGUUUACCAUGCCACUCAACUGGUGUAUGAUCUCUGUAAAUCCAAAAAACUCAGGAAAGCCACUAGGGUUAUGGAGAUGAUAGUUGAUUCCGGUGGCGUCCCUGAUGUAGCCUCGUAUAAUUUCUUGGUGAGCCAGUUGUGUAAAAGAGGGAACGUUGGCCAUGCAAUGCAGUUAGUGGAGAAGAUGGAAGAUCACGGAUACCCAACACAUACUGUUACUUAUAACUCUCUGGUUAGAGGGCUUUGUAUGCUUGGGAACUUGAAUCAAACCUUGAUGUUCAUCGAUAAACUGAUACAAAAAGGAUUGGUUCCUAAUGCUUUCACUUAUUCAAUCUUGCUAGAAGCUGCUUAUAAGGAAAGAGGGGCUCAUGAGGCGAUGGAGCUGUUAAAUGAUAUCAUUUCUAAAGGGGGCGAACCUAAUCUUGUAAGCUAUAAUGUCCUGCUUACCGGAUUGUGCAAGGAAAACAGAACCAACGAAGCGCUUUCUUUCUUCAGGGAGUUACCUUCAAAAGGGUUUUCUCCAAAUGUCGUGACUUAUAACAUUCUCUUGAGAAGUUUGUGUCGUGAAGGCAGAUGGGAUGAAGCAAAAGGGCUCUUGGCUGAGUUGGUGGAAGCAGGGUUAUCACCAUCUUUAGUUACCUACAACAUCUUAAUCAGUUCUCUUGCUUUUCAUGGUAGAACUGAUAAUGCACUCAAGGUGCUCAAUGAAAUGUCAAAGGGAGAGUUCAAGCCAAUUGCUGCCACCUACAAUCCAAUCAUUGCACGCCUUUGUGAAGAAAAAAAAGUAGAAGAAGUAAUGAAGUGUCUGGACUUAAUGACAUACAGGGAUUGCAAUCCAAAUGAAGGAACCUACAACGCCAUAGCUGGCCUCUGCAAACAAGGUAUGGUGCAGGAAGCUUUCUCCAUCAUCAACAGUUUGAGCAGUAAACAAAACUCCUCAAAUCACGAAUUCUACAAGAACGUGAUAUCAGGAUUGUGUAGAAAGGGGAACACUUUUCCUGCAUUUCAGCUUCUUUAUGAAAUGACAAGGUAUGGAUUCACUCCAGAUUCUUAUACUUAUUCGUCUUUGAUUAGAGGUUUGUGCAUGGAGGGAAUGUUGGAUGAAGCUAUGGAGGUAUUUGGGAUCAUAGAAGAGAGUAGUUACAGGGCUGAUAUCGAUAAUUUCAAUGCACUUAUACUUGGACUUUGCAAAUCUCAGAGAACAGAUUUGGCUUUACAGAUUUUUGAGAUGAUGAUACAGAAAGGGUAUAUGCCAAAUGAGACUACUUAUACCAUUAUUGUAGAAGGGAUUGCUCAUCAAGAUGAGAAAGAGUUGGCAGCUUUGGUUUUGAGAGAGCUACAUUUGAAACAAGUCAUUGGUCGAAAUACAGUAGACAGGCUUCUGAUGCAAUAUGAUUUUGAGGAUUUCAAUGGCUAAAUACUUGCAACUUGCAAUCAUAAUGCACUUUUGAAGAUCAAGAUUUUGUUCUUGAGAAGUGAGCUUAUUAUGAAUAUAUAAAUAUAUAAUUUGAGGUAUGCUAAUUAAUGUUGUUUUAGGUUUAACUAUCUCUGUUGUAUAUCUUUCUCUAAUAUGCUGAAGUCAUAUUUCUUAAAUGCAAGUUCGUAUGUUCAAUUUCUUGCUGGAGAUGCAACCAGUUUUGACAACUCAUAAAGAGAUUUUUGUAAUUAGUUGAAGUUAAAUUUUGAUUACAUCAGUAAUCAUUUUGUAUCUUAGAAAAAUUCAUGUAUCAUAUUAAUGAAAACUAAUAAAUAAGAGUUGAUUUUGCCUAGGAUUUUAGAAGGCUAUGAGUUGGACAAUCUAAUCCAAGUAAGAUUAAUGUUUUGGAUGCUAUCAACCUUGUAGUCUCGGAUUGGACAAUUAAUGUUGAACAAGAGACAAUGACAAAUUGUUUAAUUCGGGGGACACUUGUGAAAACAACAUUUAUGAUCUUGAUUUCUCAUGAUUAAUGAUCUCAAUUAUCACAAUAAAAUGGAUGCAUAUUGGUCCAGAUCUUUGUCUUGAACUCUUACAAGAAAAUACCCGGGUGAAAUUGUUUAUAGGUCGAGAUCUUAGAAGAAAUUAUGGCUACUAUAAUUCAGAAUAAUGUUGAUGAUGAUAUAGUACCUUUGGAACCAAUAACUCUUACAAGUUUUCUUUGGAACCAACAACUCUUACAAGUUUUGCUGCGUUUUGAGAACACAACGCCAUAAAUUUUUGAUGUGCAAUAAGAAAAGUUAGAGAUGUGCUCCAACUAGACUUGGAUUUAAAGAAAAAAUAAACAAUAGAAUCAUAUUUCCCUAAAUUGUCUUAGUUAUGUUAUAAUCGUUAGUUUAUGAUUUUAAUGAGACCCUAUAUUUAUAUAGAUUGGGGUGGUUUGAAAAUAUAUAAUCUCAUUGAAAUUUAUCGAGUAUAAAUUUAAAGAGUUUCUAUUAUACUUCAAGGAGGAAACCAUUGCAAAAUAAACUAAAUUUGUUACAAGAAGCAAAGGUUGAAGUGCCAAGGGGAAUAAGAAGCACUUGAAUGCCACAAGUUAUUGAUGCGUAAUAAAUGAUUGAGUUAUUACGAUUGAGUUAAGGGUUCUUGAACGGCCACUACAGCUCUAUGCUUUUGUGAGGAUAUGGGGAGAGGGAUUGCCCUUUGGACGAUGUGCUAAGACACCAAAGUACGUCGCAUACUCUCUCAUGAGCAGUUCCUAAUUGAAACCCCAAGACCCGAACAUUAAACUUCCCUUGCAAAGACAAGUGACCUACUCUUACUCGGUAGGUCACGAGAUGGUUGUGCGAAUUCAAUACAUUAGUACUAACAGAUUCGAUACAAAUGCAAUGAUUAUUUCUUCUACAAUAUAUCUAUAACUAAAUGACAAUUAGGAGUUUAUUUUCUUUAACUAAAUGUCAACACACAAAAAAUAUAUCUUUCAUUUGUGACUUGUAGAAAAGCAUUUACUCUAUUGUUGCUUUGGUGGCUUUAUAAUCACCGGAGGAUUUGCGUCAUUCCACUCAAUAAAAAUACAAUUUGGCCUAGAAGAUAGAGCACAUAAAAAACCUUCUUUAAAGGUUGUCAUGGGGUGCAAGAUGAUAAAGAGUUUAACCUAGUAUUGCCCUUUAUUCAACCAAAUUUGGAUAAGCCCACUGAGUUUAUGUCUUGGAUUGUAACACCCCCGAACCAGACGGCGGAAACGUCCGGGGGCUUGUGCGUGACUUCAUCUUGAAAUAUCAUUACAGUGAAUAAAAUUGAAACAUAACAUCAUCAUCAUCACACAUGUAAUAUAACAACAUUCAUUGUUUACAUCGAGUAUUGUAUUUGAAUAUUACAUGCCAAAAUAGUAAGAGUAUGAUGAAACAAAAUAUAACACAAUAUCCAUUAGUGUGUUUCAUUCAUUCUGCUUCAAGGGUUUCCUGAGAAUACAAGUUAUUUUGAAAAUGCUCAACAUAAAAUGUUGGUGAGUUCAUAAGCAUGUUUGUGAAAAUGAUUUGUAUAAUUUUGAAACCACCAGAAAAUCCUAUAUUUUCUGCAAACUGUUUAGUAUGUUUGUGUUAGAUCUUGUAUUAAUGCAUGUAUGUUUUUGAUUAUUUGACUAAAAGGGUAAAGAGAAUGUAGAAAGAAUGUAAAGAGCAUGUUCCCAGACAACCCGAUGUUGCCUGUAAAAGAGAAAGCUACCAUACCAACCCCCGAGGUUGAGUACCAGUACAAGUAUGUUUCCGAGUAAUCCAAGAGAAAAGAGAAUGGUCUUCCGUAAACUUCAUAACGUUAAUUCCUCUAAGUGAGUCGUCAUAACCAUACUAAAUAAUGACAAUUUCGCCUGUCUUGGCGUUGUUGGACGCCAAUUUUGAUUUUUGAUUAUAAGGUUUUCGUCACCCUAGACUGAGUUAGUCUAAAUGUAGCGAACAACUCAGGUGUGGGGUGUCAUCCCCGUAUAGAUCUAUACACAAAUCCCUGCUCUCAUUCCAAGAGACUCUGGUUAUAAGUACAGGCUACGAUCGUACACUUAAUAGGUGCCAACCAACAAAACUCAAUAGAUCCUUAAUCGAAUUUACGCGAAGAAAGGUAUAAUCUCAUUCCAGGCCCAAUGAACCAUGUAAGUGAACCACUAAGGCAUCGCUAAACAUGUAAACCAUUUAAAGGCCCAAAUUGGAAUGAAAUUAUAUAACAUGUGCCCGAAAUAUAUAUGAAAGGACAAUUAAGGCCCAUUUCACAUGUAAGGUAUUUACAGGCCCAAAUAGCACACAAAUAGUAUCCAAGGUUCGUCGCACAUGUUAAUGGGCCAAUGAGGCCCAAUAAACAUAUAAAUAGUAUACAGAACCUAUCACGCAUAAAAAUGGACCACUAAGGCCCAAUAACCUAGAAAAUGAUCAAAUUAAUUCGUUUGUUAAUUUAUCGUUGGUUUUGGUUCAAGUAUUCACUAAAAUCGCAUAAAAGCCCACUUUUUGUAAAAAUGACGUUCUUGGCCCAAUAAGCCAAAAAUUUACAAUUAAGGCCCAAUUUUUGUAAGAAUAACACUUUAGUCACCAUUUUGUUCAAAACCUAUGUUGAUGACUAGUUUGUGGUAAAAAUAACAUUUUAAACCCAUUUUUGUCAAAAAUAUCAUUUUUGGCUUGAUUUUUGUGAAAACACACAUUUUCUGGUUUUGGGCUUUUCUGAUCUAGUUGUUGGAAAAUUCGUAGAAAAAAUCAUCGUAAGUCGAAAUUUGGAUCCGUAAAUUCUGGAAGUUUUUUCUCUGCUUUGUUCACAAUUUUUCUCAUAAUUUUUGAUACCCUCAAGCUAGUGUGAAAUUACUCACCUUUACAGGUUGGUCCGAAAUUAUUUCAAAUAUGAUAGACAGUUUUGUAAAAUUUGCCAAAAAUUGUAGAAAAAUCGUAUGAAAACGUGAGAGUAGUCAUUUAAAGGUAUAAACCAGAAAUUUGAGCAUGUAAAACAGUUUUGAAAAAUAUUACCAUUAACGGGGUCAAAACAGUUCGAGAUUGGCCUAAAACUUUUUUUGUCAAAAGCUGAUUUUUGAGUAUAAGUUAUUCAUGUUUGUUCACAACACUUGUUUUUUCUAUUUUAAGUGUAUAAAUCCCAGAUCUAAAAGUUUAUAUGUAUUAUAUGUGAUAACACAUAUUUUUCUCAAGGUUCUUAUGAAGAUCCAAGUGGUAAACUCCAUAUUCUUAAACUUAUGAAGUAAGCAACACAUAAUCACCAAAUGAUUCAAGAAAACACCCAUAAUCAUGCAUAUACACAUAGAUCUACACAAAUCAACUUAUAUUCUCCCCAAAAAAUAAGUAAAAACCGAAAACAAUGGGGUACGAACUCACCUUGGGAUGAUGGAUCAGUUUUGGUGAAGAAGUGGAAGAAGAUUUUUGAUCCUAACAAGCUUUCUUGAGUAGAUCUUGAACUUAAUUGGUUAUAAGAACAUGAUCCACAUAAUAUGGGUGUAAGAGGAGAUUUUUGAAGAGAUCAAGAAGUUAAAUCAUAGAUCUAAGCAAAAACUUACCAAAGAGUGAUGACUUUUUGGUGGUAAACCUUCUUGAAAUUGCUCUAAAUCUCGAAAAUCUUAGAAGCAAGUAGGGAUGUUCUUGAGAGAUUUGGAGGUGUUUGAAAGAAAGUGUGUGUGUGUGUGUGUUUGGUGCUUUAGGCCGAGAAGAAAAAGAAGGGAAGGAAGAAAGAGAGUGAGGUGAUGGAAGUUCUUGAUGCAUGAGAUUUCUUGCAUGGAAUACCACAAUGUAAUAAGUAUGUGUCUAAUUCUCCUUAAUUACUUUUUUAAAUAUAUUUUUAUAUAUACAUGGGCUGAUGUCACACCCCCAAACCGGAACGGCGGAAAUGUUCGGGGGCGGAUGACUUCAUGUGGUAACGUAACAAAUGAAUACAUAGUAAAGAAAGCAAUAUAACCAUCAUAUAUAUAAUUGAAAGUUUACAUUGUUAAAAGAUAUACGUUCAAAACAAAUUACAAUAUGAUGCCAAAAUAUGAAUUUAAACUGGCGCCGCAGCGUCCCUUCUUCAAAAGCUGUUUGUUACCUGUAAUUACUGAAUCCCUGGGACAUACAAGUAGUUUUGAAAGAGUAGAUCAGCAUUUAAGCUGGUGAGUUUCAUAAGUAUUAAAUGACAAUGUUUGUAUGAAAUGAAAUGUUUUGUUUUUGUUUGUUUGUUCCUAGAAAAUCCCAUAUUUUCUACUAGCUUGAAUGUAGCCUUCUAUCAAGACCAAUGUUUGUUUCUAGAAAACUUAUGUACGUAUAAAAUUUUGCCAAUACGUCUGAAAAACCCCGUAAAUCAAUGUAUUUUUAAUACUCCAUGUGAGUUUUAUAACCAUGCUAUUGACUAGAAAUGCCUAUACACAACGUUCUUCAGGCGUUGGAAUGUUCUGACGUUUGUCACCCCAAAUGGUGUACUGUAGCUAACAGUCAGGGCGCGGGGUUGUCAAGCCCGUAUAGAUCUAUACACAAACACCAUGCUCCCCCUCCAAGGGAUUCUGGUAUAUAAUACAGGACUUGAAAUGCGUACUCGAACGUACGUGAAGUUAAUGUCUCACAAAACUUAGUAUAAAACAGAUUUACGUGUGAAAAUGUUCGUUUGUUCUUGUAUGUGAAAGGAACUUCUUGAAGUAGUGUUUAUAGUAUGUAAAAGUUCGUGAUGUUCUCGUAAAACUAUACCUAUUAUAGUUUUCUAAAAGUAUGUCUCGUUUGUAUAGUAAUCCCUAGUGAAAUGCUCACUUGUUAUGAAAAGUAUAAUUUUUGUAGUGCCUAAGAUGGACACAUAUACAUACAGUAUAAGCAGAGUGUUUGAUUUAUACAUAUAUAACAACAUUUUUCAUUUCCAAAGAUAUGAUGUUAUCGUGAUAUAUUUUGCAUACGAAAGUUUCCCUAUAAUAGUUAUAAAUCACAUAUGAUUCCGUUGAUAAAAAGUGUAUAAUGAAACUUUAUAUAACACACGAUAAUAAUCGUGUGUUUUACUUGUAUUUCCCCCUUAAAAGCAUAUAAAAGCAUUUAUAAAACAUUUAAAAGUGUGGAUUAUAAGGGUAUGAACUCACUUGAAAGAUCAAAAAAGGCAAGAUGAAAACCGAGAAGAAAUUCGACUCAAGAAAGCGGAUUUUCUCGGGAUUCUCGGGAAUCUCGGGAGCACAAACGACCUUCGGGACUUGAGCAAGGAAACCGGGGCUGCGGGUUAGCACGGGCACGGAAAACGAGGCAAUAACGCAAGAAAGUUGAGAGAAAUUGAUCCCUUUCUUCAGAACGCUCGCAUCCCUUUUAUAGGGGCUGGGAACCGCCUCGGUACGCUGGGCGUACGCGUGCGUAUGCGUGACCUCCUCCUCGACUGCCUCGGAGCUUCGGAUGGGACGGGGCAUAGCCUCGCAUAGGGGCGACGUGGACGAUCCGAGGCUUAUCCUCGAGUACGCUGGGCAUAACUCGGAUCGACCUGGUGACUCAUCCUUCGGAUAAUGUCGAGAUUAAAUAAUAAAAUUUAUAUUUUAUUUAUUUAAUAAACUUCAAAAAUUCAUAUCUUCUUCAUACGAACUCCGUUUUCGACGUUCUUUAUAUCCACGCGUAGGUGAGACUACGCUCUACAACUGUCGUUUAGAUUCCGUCGGCAAAUUUUGAAAUUAUUUUUAUUAUUUAUUUUUAAAAGGUCGCGGAAAGAAAAUUUCGUUAGAAAUUUAUAACUUCAUUAUCUAACGUCUGUUUUUGCCAGACUUUUUACCUAGUAAUACCAUUGUCGAGACCUUCGAUUCUCAUUUAGGUCAUUCCGGCCAAAAGUCGCUCGAUCUCCGAUUCGAGUUUUUAGCUGUCUGUCGCUAAGCCCAACUUGGAAAAAUCAUAACUUCAUUAUACGAAGUCAGAUUUGGGCGUUAUUUUUACGUAUGACCACGGUUUAACGUCAUCUAACAUAGUAGCUAAUAAAUUUGAGAUUUUUGGACAUUUUAUUUUCGAAGUAAUUUCAUUAUAUCAAAAGUGGUUACAAUACUUGACUUUUUAGGUCAUUACAUAGAGUUUAAAUAUCGGGAUGUCACAGUCGAUGACUUCGUGGUUUACUGUGAUGCUUCGAUCACGAGCAUGGGUGCGUUCUUGAUGCAACGAGGUCACAUGAUAACAUACGCUUCGAGGCAGUUGAAGCCUCACGAGGCUAACUAUCUGACACAUGAUUUAGAGAUGGGGGUUGUGGUUUUCACCCUCAAGAUUUGGAGGCAUUACCUCUAUGGGUUCUGUUGUACCAUUUACACGGACCACAAGAGUUUGAGGUACCUCAUGUAUAAGAAAAAUCUGAACAUGAGGCAGCGUCGGUGGUUAGAUGUUGUCAAGGACUACGACUAUGAGAUCCUUUAUCACCCGGGCAAGGCCAAUGUGGUGGUCGAUGCCCUGAGCCGUAAGGCAGUGACGGCCCCGAAGGAGGAGCAUCGGAAGUGUGAGCAGAUCAUAGACCAAGUUGCCUCCUUUGAUUAUUACAGUCGUGGGCUGUUGACCCUGCAUGGGAGGUUCUGGGUUCCGUACUGGGGCGGGGUAUGGCAAAUUUUUAUGGAUGGGGCCCACAAUUCGAGGUUCUCCAUCUAUCCUAGGGCGACGAAGAUGUAUCGGGAUCUCCGCCCUGAUUACUGGUGGCCCUGGAUGAAGUGGGACGUAGUGUGGUAUGUGGAGAGGUGCUUGACCUGCAAGAAGGUCAAGGCCGAGCACCAGCGACCCCACGGAAAGAUGCAGCUGUUGGAUAUUCCUGUGUGGAAAUGGGAGGAUAUCAGCAUGGAUUUCAUCACCAAGCUUCNCAGUCACACUAUUUCCCUUAUGUAAGUUCUUGUAAGCCUUUCCAUCUUGUCAGUCUCCUUGAUUGGUAGAAAAUGCACGGAUUUGGUCAAUCUGUCGACGAUGACCCAUAUGGUAUCAAGUCCACUCGUUGUCUUGGGCAACUUGGUUAUGAAGUCCAUAGUAAUUCGUUCCCAUUUCCAUUCCAGUAUCUCUAGUUGUUGUAGUAAUCCUGAAGGUUUUUGAUACUCGACCUUAACCUUAGCGCAAGUAAGGCAUUUACUUAGGAAGGUAGCAAUUUCUGCUUUCAUGUUAGGCCACCAGUACAGUUUCUUAAGAUCCAGAUACAUUUUAUCUGAACCUGGGUGAACGGAAUAUCUUGUGUUGUGUGCUUCGGCCAUGACUACGUCUCUGAAGCCACCAUGUUUCGGUGUCCAGAUACGGUCCAUGAGAUAAUAUGCUCCGCCACCCUUGAUUUCUAGAUUCUUUUCCAUUCCCCUCAGGGAUUCACCCGCCACAUUUUCAGGUUGUAAAGCUUCCAGUUGAGCCUCCUUAAUUUGUGUGGAUAAGUGGGAAUGGAUAGUCAUAGUCAGAGAUUUGACUCUCCGACCAGUGUAUUCUUUUCGACUGAGGGCGUCGGCUACUACAUUGGCCUUGCCAGGAUGAUAACGAAUUUCGCAUUCGUAGUCAUUGAGUAGCUCGACCCAUCGUCUUUGUCGCAUGUUAAGCUCCUUCUGAUCGAAAAUGUGUUGAAGGCUCUUGUGGUCGGUGAAGAUAGUACUCUUUGUUCUGUAUAGGUAAUGUCUCAAGAUCUUCAGAGCAAAUACCACUGCUCCUAACUCAAGAUCGUGUGUUGUAUAGUUUACUUCAUGUCUCUUAAGCUGACGGGAGGCAUAGGUAAUAACCUUCCCUCUUUUCAUAAGAAGACAACCAACUCCUUGAUUUGAUGCAUCACAAUACACUACAAAAUCUUCUAUCCCUUCGGGGAGGGAUAGUAUCGGUGCGGUGCACAAAGCCUGCUUCAGUGUUUGGAAUGCCUUCUCUUGUUUUGCUUCCCAGUCAAAGGCCACACCUUUCUGGGUCAAUGUAAUAAGAGGUUUCGCAAUGCUAGAGAAGUUCUUUAUGAAUCUGCGAUAGUAGCCAGCGAGACCCAGAAAUUGACGAAUCUCUGUAGGCGUCUUUGGUGCCGACCAGUUUUCAAUGGCCUUAAUUUUGGAGGGGUCCACGUGUAUCCCCUUCUCGCUAACAACGUGGCCCAAAAAUUCGACUCUUCGAAUCCAAAAUUCGCAUUUAGAGAACUUCGCAUAGAGCUUCUCCGAUCGUAAUGUUUCUAAGACUUUUCGUAGGUGCUGACUAUGCUCUUCCUUACUUCGGGAGUAGAUAAGUAUAUCAUCGAUGAAGACGAUGACGAACUGAUCCAAGUAAGGACGACACACCAUAUUCAUUAGGUCCAUGAAUACCGCUGGUGCGUUGGUUAAUCCGAAUGACAUUACUUCAAAUUCGUAGUGUCCAUAACGGGUUCGGAAGGCUGUCUUGGGAAUAUCCUCCUCUAGUACUCGUAAUUGGUGAUAUCCGGAUCGUAGAUAUAUCUUCGAGAAGUAGUUUGCUCCUUGAAGUUGAUCAAAUAGGUCGUCAAUGCGGGGCAGAGGGUAACAAUUUUUGACAGUAAGUUUGUUCAGUUCUCUGUAGUCAAUGCACAUACGGAACGAUCCGUCUUUCUUCUUUACAAACAUGACCGGUGCUCCCCAAGGUGAGAAGCUUGGUCUAAUGAAUCCUUUUUGGUGGAGUUUGUUAAGCUGACUGGAAAGUUCUUGCAUCUCUACUGGUGCCAGAUGAUAAGGCGAUUUUGCUACUAGGGUAGCCCCUGGAACUAAGUCGAUUCUAAACUCGACUUGACGUUGUGGUGGUAAUCCCGGUAGUUCUUCUGGAAAGAUAUCGGGAAAGUCGCGUACUUCUGGAAUGCUCUUAAUGUCCUUUACUUCCUGACUCGUAUCGACGAUGUGUGCAAGAAAUGCAUGAUAAUCCUUCCGCAAACACUUUCGAGCUUGGAUGCACGAAAUGAUGCGAAGGUUUGUACUUGAUUUGUCGCCGUAAAUCACUAAUGUUUCGUCGUUAGGGAGAUUAAGACGAACUGCUUUCUCAAAGCACAUGAUGUUGGCGCGAAGAAGACUUAACCAAUCCAUGCCGACUAUGACGUCGAAACUUUUAAUUUGGACCGGCAUGAGGUUGAUUGGGAAAGAAUGACCGUCUAAAGUUAAUGUACAACCCAUGUAUAUGCAGUUAGUGUUUUCCGUUUUUCCGUUUGCCAUUUCUAUAGUGAAUGAUUUUUCUAACAUGCUAGGUUUAUGUUUAAGUAAGUGAAUAAAGUUUUGACUCACGAAGCUUCUCUCUGCUCCACUAUCGAACAGUAUGCAUGCAUAUGAAUUAUCGAGAAGAAACGUACCAGCAACUACUGUAGGAUCAGCUACGGCUUCUUCGUGGCCUAUAGCCAAAACUCGUCCCACUCCGCCGGUAUUCGCUGCCUUCGGGCAGUUUCUUUUGUAGUGGCCCACCUCGCCACAACCGUAGCAAGCUUGGCCUACACCAGCAUUGGGAACUUGAGUGAUCGGCUUUACGGGGGCUUUGCAGAAACGGACAGUGUGUCCCUUUCUGUUGCAGUUGGAGCACUGCAUUUCCCGACAAGGUCCAUGGUGGUGGUAAGUGCAUUUGGUGCACUUUGGAAGGUUACCCACAUAAGGCUUUGUUGGGUAGAGAUUUGUUGGAACGGUAGUAGGUAUAGUAGCAGCAUUCACUAUAACUAGUUGUUGUUUCUUUGAGGAUUCUUGGGAAGACCCACACUUCCCUUUAUUCCAUCCUCUCUUCUUGUUAUUGUUGUUGUUGUUUCCCCUUUGUGGUUCUGGUGCAGAAAUUGUCGAGUUCUGAUGACUUCCGUGAUCAAUAAGAGAUUGUGCCAGCUCUUUGGCACUUUCAAAAGUGUCAGGUUUUGAAGCUAGCACGCUUGAAUAAAUUUGGGGCGAUAGUCCCCAAAUGUAUCUCUCUAUUUUCUUGCUCUCAGGAGCAAUCAUAUUUGGGCAAAGGAUUGCCAGAUCGCAGAAUCUGUUGGUAUAAGUUGCUAUGUCGGUACCAAUCAUUCCAAGAGUCCAGAGUUUGUGCUCGAGUUUUUGAAUCUCUCCUCGUGGACAGUAUUCUCUCAUCAUCAUGAUUUUUAAGCUCUCCCAACUUAUUAAACUUGCCACUAUCAGAUUAAGUACCUUAACAUGGCCAUUCCACCAAGUUAAAGCUCUAUUAGUAAGCGUGUAGGUUGCAAACUUGACUUUGCUGUGCUCGGGACAGGAGCAGAUUUCAAAGACUGAUUCUGUCCUUUCGAUCCACUGCCUCAAAAUCAUCACACCACCAGUUCCAUUAAACAUCCGGGGUUUGGCGUUCGUAAAGUCCUUAUAGGUGCAUUCUUGGGGUUGUCCAUGACUCUCGCCAUGGUUGGAAGGAAGUGUGCCAAUUCUCGAAACAGUAGUAACAUGGGUAUUGAUCUGUGACAUGGCAGCCGCUACAACUACGGUGACUGCUGCUUGGAACAUGGCAGCAUUAAAUUGAGGAGGUGGAGGUGGUGGUGGUAUCGGUGCUUCCCCACUGUUUUUUCGUCUCGGGUUUCUACGCGGAGGCAUCCUUCAACUAUAGAUUGAAAAGACAAAGGUAAGAAUUUCAUAGCAUAGAAAAUGAAUGUGCCUCAUGAACUAAAUCGCUAUAGAUAAACAACAGAUGAUAGUAGAAGUUUCAAAGAUAGACGAAUGGAAGAUUGUAACAUCUGGAAUUUCAGGUAUUAUAAUUAUUCAUUUUAUUUUGAGUUUUGUGGAAGAACUCGGCGAGUUGGUGCGUAGACUCGCCGAGUAGAGACGCGAUUUCUCACCCGGAUUAAUGACCGGACUCGACGAGUCGCAUUGGUGGACUCGGCGAGUCUGCGCUGUUUAAUGAAACCCUAAUUUCUCGGGUUUGGGGCCUAUUUAAAGGGCCUUAUGGCCGUCAUUUGUGCUCACCAGUCCCCAGAGCGAAACCCUAGUGAGCUUGAGCGUUUGGAGUGAGAGAAGGAGCCAUUGUUGACCUUGGAGGUGUUAUCUAGCAAGGGAAAGGAAGCUAUAGCCAAGGGGAAGCAAGAGGAUCAACUUCCUGAAGAUCUGAGGUCCAGAACAUCACGUUUGAGGUACUAUUUUCGAACCAUUUUCUGUUAAGGUGAUGUUCAUGUUGAUUUAGGGCUUAUUGAGCCCUUUUGUGGCUAGAUCUAGUGCUUCCUUGGUCCCUUAAGCGAGUUAGGUUCUGGAUCUGGACCCUUGGAGGUCCAGAGUGUCCCUUUGUCCAAGCUUUUUAUGAAUCCAUGGAGGUUUUGGUUUGCGAUCUUUGUGCUUGAGGUCAAAACACCAUUUAUGAGUCAUUGGGUGUGUUAUGAGCACCAAGACAUGAACUUUACGUGAUAAAUAAGCUUGGAAGGACUGGAUCUAUGAGUUAGUGGAGCAUAUCUGACCUCAGAAGGUCGUUUGGGGUUGUGCAUGGAAUGCACUCGCCGAGUCUAUUUCCAGACUCGACGAGUUGGAGCGAGUGGUUCCGUGUUUUCGAACCAGGGGUUGAGGGACCGAGUUGGGUGAGUGACUCGGUGAGUCGGAAGGGGAUUCAGAGGAAUCGGGUCCCCGAAGGGACUCAGCGAGUCCACGCCAGACUCGGCGAGUUGGGUUGACCGUUGACCGUUGACCAGAGUUGACCGAUGAUGACUUGAUAGAGUUAGUCAACCCUAGUUUGGAAAGUGUUAAUUAGAGAUGUAUUUGUGUUAUAGGAGGAUUAUAGAUCGGGUGAUCGAGCACUAGUGAUUUCAGGGGUUUACGAGUUACCGAGAUACACGAGGUGAGUCUUCUCACUAUACUUUACCUUGAGUAGGUAACCAGAGUUAUGUGACAGAGUAUUUGUAUGCUUUGUAUGUUAUGUCUUGUACUGCAUUAUUUCUAUGUGAUUUAUGAUGUGCAUGUUUACAGAGUUAGAACCGUAAGGUUCACAGAGUUAGAACCAGAAGGUUCACAGAGUUAGAACCGGAAGGUUCACAGAGUAGGGUCCACGGACCCACAGAGUUAUAGCCUCGAGUGGCUAAUAUGUGUUAUGUGUGGUAUUUUGGGGAACUCACUAAGCUUCGUGCUUACAGUGUUUUGUGUUAUGUGUUUCAGGUUUCUCUCGGGAUCACGGGACGGCACCGGCUCGAUUGUACACACCAGAGAAAGAGUCACGUUUUGAGGGUCCUGGUUUAUUAUGCAAGUGAAAAAUGGAGUUAUGUUUUGUAAUACGAUCAUGAAUAAGAUUUUAAGCAAAGUGUUUUUAAGAAUUAAACGAUUAUUUUUAAACGAAAAAUUGUUUUGAAAUUUUUGGUGUUACAAAGAUAUUCGUAAAUCCGAAUAUGUGAAACAAGCGUAUGGUUUCUCCAUAAUAUUUUAAGGAUUGAACGAAAUAUUCAAUGUAGUAGUAAUAGCGUGCCAAUUAUAUUAAUAUAAUAGUUGAUACAACUAUCAUGAAAAUUUGACCCCUAUAAGGGUCUCCGGUUACAAAGUUAACGAAAAAUAAAUGUUUUAGCCGAGGUCCUAACUUAUAACAAAAUUUGGGAUUUGGAAAGCACUACUUACGUCGUAGGUUGCGCUUGGAGCUUGACUCCACAUCCGAUUGCUUUGAUUCCAUAAGACGCCUAUCGAAGGCGGCUUAUUGUUCCUUCAAUUCGGAGAGGGCUGCAAUCAUUUGCGCUUGGAAUGCUUCGGUUUGGAGUUGGGCAUUGUCCUGAGCUCUGUCCAGCCUACGGAUGUCGGAAGUGUGAACCUCUACUUCCACGUUGACUUCCCGAAUCCGGCUAGCUUGAACUCCGGAUUGGUAGGACUGGUUGGCUAGCUUGCCCACCAUGACAGGGAGUGCUCGAUCGGCUGAACCUCCGCCGCGGACAUCGUAGAAGUCUCGACACAUGCCGUAGGGAGGGUGUAGACUUUGUUGUUGAUUCCAAUGGUGGAGGUGACUUCCCCAAAUGGGAGUCGGUCAUUGAAAGUUUCUCAUGAAGACGGGAGGUUGUGCGGGUGGUGGGUUGAUUACUUCCGGCUCUGAGUCGGUACCAGAGUCAGCCUCUUCAUCCAAUUCCAUGGGUUCUUCGUCCUCCUCGGGAUUCUCUUUGAUCCAUCCCCCGUUGCCUUGGUUGGGAUAGUAGGGGUCGUCGGGGUGGUGAAAUCCAGCCAUUUGGCUGUAUGAGAAUAGGGUUAUAAGAAUUGAAUAAAAUUUGGAAUAUGUAUGACUAAGCAUGUAAGUUGAGCUAUUUUAUGUAACAAAUACUCCUAUAGUAUUUAAAUUCGUGUGUUUGAUUCUUGUGAUGUUUUGAUAAGUUUUGACUUGUUUCUCACUACGAUCAUUCCUCGAUAUACAUUGGUCCGAUCUCGAGCAAAUAUAGUUGAUCAUGCUAUAUUUGUCCCAAAUCUGAUUACAUAUAUCGAGUCUUAGUCGUAGUGUCCAACUUGUCUAAAUACUUCUUGUAUAGUUAUAAUCAUGAAAAUAAGUUGUCGUAUGCAUGUAUUUGUACUUAAAUGAAAUAACAAUUUAAGUUAAACGAAACGCGGCUUAGGCGUAAAACAAAAAAUGUUUUGUCAGAGAGUGUCACACCCCAAAACCGGAAUGGCGGAAACGUUCUGGGGUGGAUGACGUCAUGUCAAGUAUCACAACACAUGCAUUAUAGUAAUCAAAGGACAACAAAACAUUGCAUUAAUAGUAAUAGUUUUACAUGGUUUACAUUACGAUACAUCAAAGUAAUACAAGUAAAUAUAAUAAGUACAGCAUGGUACUAAGCUAUCUUCAUCAACAGCUCCGGGGAUGUACCUGUCUAAUGCUGACCUGAGAAUACAAGUUAUUUGAAAAGCGAGUAUCAGCAUUUUUACAAAUGCUGGUGAGUUCAUAAGUAUCUAGUGACAUUUUAUUCAAAUAACCUUAUAAUGUAGUAGUUUAAGAAUUUACAGUGUAUUAGAGUUCUUUCCAGAAAAUCCUAUAUUUUCUUUAAUAAAAGCAGUCUUCUACCAAGACUGGACGGAGUUAGUGUGGUAAAAGUAGUUUUCCCUUAAUUGCUAUCAUUAUCAAAAUACUGAAUUUGAUUAUUAAAGAAGGCAAGAAGAAUCAGGGAAAUAACAUAUGCCUCAGCAGUGAGGACUGCUGACUAAGGCAAAGGAAUCCUAGACUCCAGGAGAGUAUCGAAUGAACGACACGCCUGGCUCAGUCUACCAAAAGGAGGCACAGACCCCAAAAGGUACCAAAUGAAAGGUACAACUGGUAAGGUCUAAAACAGUGAAUAUAGACCACAAAUAGUAUCAAAUGAAAGAUACAUCUUGCAAGGUCAAAAACAGAGAAUAUAGACCGCAGACAGUAUCAAAUGAAAGAUACAACUUGCAAGGUCAAAAACAGUGUGACUCUGAGAAUGAGUUACCAGCAUACAGUGUAAAUUGCUGGUGAAAUACCGUUACCUUAAGGCCAUGAAUUAUAAGGUAACCCGGGAUACUCGUAACCAUACUAAUCGACACUAGAGUACCAGACGCCCUACAAGCGUCUAUAAAAUAUGACAUUUGUCACCCCUUGGCUUGGUAGGCCGUGGACUGUAGCUAGCAGUCAGGGUGCGGGGGUGUCAAUCCCGUAUAGAUCUAUACACACAAUGUCCGCUCUCCCUACAGGAGACUCUGGUUACCAACUAGACGACGGAGAAGGCCGUGUCCUGAAGAUGCAUCCCAAAUAGUGGGUAAUGACUUCCAAACAGUGGGUAGUGGGUUUCUAAUGUAAGUGCUGAACUAGAGGUAGAGACUCAUGACUGAACUGACUAGAGCAUACCUAUACAUCUAUACUCGUAUACAUAAUAUAUAACUAAUGAACCAAACGACCUUCGGACGGCCAUCCGAUCCCACCAGACCACAUCUCAACGAAGAAAAGGAAAUAGGGCGGACAAGCCUUCCUAAGUCCUUCAAUCAUUAUUUAUAUGCAUCUAUACAAGCACAGACAUACAUCUAACUACGCUUGAGUGUGUAACAAGUGGAUUCAUAUCGUGAAGUAUAAGUGUACAGUGUGGAAUAACCGAAUCGCGAAGUAUAAGCGUGCCAAAUGUAAGUGUAUCACGAAGUAGAAGCGACAACAAGUGAAGUAGGAGCGUAUCGAGUAUAAGUGAAGUAGAAGCGAUACCAAGUAUUAGUGAAAUAGAAGCGUAUCACUAAGUAAGAGUGUGAACAAGUAUAAGCGUCUAACAGGUAUAAGUGACUACCAGUAUAAGCGAAAUAGAGACAACAACAGGUAUAAGCGACUACAAGUAUAAACGAAAUAGAGGCGAUAACAAGUAUAAGCGUAUCAAGAAGUGAACGCGUUAUCAAGUAGGAGUUUAAAAUAAGUGAAAGCGAAGCAGUGGUAACUAACAAGUAAAAGUAUAAGACGUGAAAAGGGAACUUUGAUGAAAACCUUGGAAAAACCUUUAUACUCAGAGAAAAUCCCAAUUGGUAUUCUUUGGUAAAAUAAGUUAGAAAACCUUUAGAAAUCUUUGGAACAUUUAUAAACCAGUUUAAAAUGUAUUUAGAUAAAACAGUAUAAGUAGGAGUAUUGAAUAAGUGAAAACCUUUUUGAAAACCCCUUUAUAGUAUCCUACUUGGUAAAAUAGUGUACAGAGUGGUAAAAUCUUGUGCAUGCGGGUUAUCAAUCACAUGUGAUUGAUAUGAUAACUGACAUGUUUAACUUGUAUUCCCCCCUAUAAAACAUGUAAAAACAUUUAAAAGGUUCAUUCAGGGGUAUGAACUCACCUGGUGUAAGUGGAUCCGACGAAGGUGCCGGUUGGGUGCUCGGUGUCAAGUAAGGACUUGGACACUCUUAAUGACCUAUUUAACAUAUGAUAACAUAUGUUCACAUAUAAUUAGUACAUUUAAUACUAAUUAAACAAGUAUACGCACCCUAAAGAGCGGAAAACACUUGGUUAAGUGUUUGGGGUGUCCCGGGUAACAUUUAAAGGCCCAAAUGGCUUAGGAAUGGAGUUUACUCUUCAAGAGUAAACUCACCUUAUGGUGUUUACGGCCCAGGGACAACUCCCCAUGAGUUUACGGCUGUAAACUGAAGGUGAGGGUUUCUAGGGUGUUUUAAGGCCUUAACUUGCUUGUGGAAUUAUUCUAGGUCCAAAUCUAAAUGGUAUGAAUGAGUUUAGGGUCUUUAAGGGCAUCAUUGGGGAGUUUACGGCCCAUGAACCACCCCCAUGGGAGUUCACAUCCGUGAACUCUUAUUCCUUGAGUUUAUUGAAGUUUCAAGACCCUAUUCCAACCCUAGGAAUUUAUAAUGAUAGUCUAAGGCCAUCUGGGGGAUAAAAACCAACAUAUUGGCAUGGUUUGGGGUGUUUACGGCCUUGACACAUGUCUGGGCCAUAAACUCCUUUUCAUCCUUCCUUUCCUUGUGUUUAAAUGAUCUAAACCCUAAAUGGUAUGCCCCUAAUUUAUGUAUUAAGUCCAAGGGUGUUUUAGGAGUGCUUUUGGAGCACUUUUGCAAGUUUAAGAGGUGUUUACGGCCUAAGCAUGUGAUUGGGCCGUAAACUCUCUUUUGUGCCCUAAAACCUUGUGUUUUGUUGUUUAAACACUCCUAGGCUAAACCCCCAACUAGUUUCUAAGCCUUUAGGGACAUUUUAGGGUCAUUUUGGCCUCUUUUUAGGGGUUUACGGCCUAAGGAGGCUCUUAGGCCGUAAACUCCAUUCUAACAGCUUAUAAGUCCGAUUUUUGGGUUUUAACAACAAUAAAGCAUGCUUAGAAUAAGUUAGGGUUGAAGGCCUUACGUUUAGGAGUCAGGAAUUGCGGUUUUGGAGUCGAAAACGAGCCUAGAGAGAGAGUAUAGAGAGAGAGGGUGGAAAAGGCUCAAAUGGAGUUUACUCCCCCUUAUAUAUGGGUGGGAGUUGGAGCUCAGUGGGAAUCUACCCAAUACUGUCGUUUAACGGGGCUUUUGGUCGCACCCAAUUUAGGGGUCGUAAUAAUUAAACUAACUUUUUUCUAAAUUACUAUGGAAAUGUAAUUUAAGUGUUUUCUUUUACUUUAUUACGACUAUAACGACAUAAAACAUAAAUAAGUAGAACAUUUAUUUAUUUGAUGACCUCUUAUUAACGGAACUUUUAUAUAGUGGAAUAUUCCGUUAAUGGUAACGGAGUAAUGUAACGGAAUAACUUUGGGUUGUCACAUCAUCCCCCCGUUAGAGGGAAUUUCGUCCCGAAAUUCAGGUCUAGGCAAGGAAGUAGGUAUGAAUGAUCAAGUAGAGGUAAGAGGGUACUUCCUAUUCUGUUCAUCCUCGCAUUCCCGAGUGAACUCUGGUCUGUGUUUGUCAUUUUAACAAACCUUCACGCACGGGAUGCGGAUUUCGUCUCUUGUAGUUAGUGGGUUCCGACUGGUGUAUCUACGACGUUAGGGUUCUCAAUGGUUUCUAUCACAACGAGUGGGGUACGAAGAGUGAUGUCGGGCAAACUGAUCAAGUCUAGGAGUGGAUCGAUCGGGUAUGAAACUUGUGGAAUAUCUGGAAGUAUUAGUGGUCUGAAAAGGGUUGGACCAAAUCUCUGUGCGUAUUCUCAGAUGGUCCUAAGCUUUCGGAAGGGUAGAGCUUUUCAGUACUUAGAACAUAGUGUAAUUCUAUGGCAAGAUCAUCACUGGCGUGAUCGCUAGUACGAAGUUCCUAACUUUCUCACUCGUACUGUAUGUGUAGUCCUCCAGGUUGGUUCUUAGGAAGCUCGGGUGGCCUUCGGUUUCGCGUUUCCUGUCAACUGGCUGUUAGAGACUUUAUGGGUCGUCGAGUGGGUUGCGUGACUAUGGUUAUCAGAUUGCUGAAGAGUGUCUAUCUCAAGCUUGUGCAAAAUGAAGUUGCACUAACGAAUCUUGAGAUACGGAAACCCUCAGGGUCGGGGAGAUAGGGUUUCCCCAGACGAGUGUUAGACUAUUUCGGGAGGUGGUUCUACUAUUUCGGCGUGAGAUAGCAUUCGUGGCACACCUAAUAGUCCAAUGACUCUCCGAGACUUUGGUUUAUUCUAGUGCGGAAAGUGCAUGCUCCUACAUAACCCCUCGACUAACACCAAGGCUGGUGUUAAGUCUAUAAUCUCUUCGGGAUCUGGGUCAUGAGGCUUAACGCAACUACUUUCGCACUUUGAUCAAGUAUUCUUGGCUGCGGAGGUUAUCCUGUGGUUCUCGGUAUCCUAGUGUUCACUUCGGAGAAUGCAUUUUAUCGUCUACAGGGUGACGACGAUUUCCUCCAUGCAAGAGGGUGGAGGAUGAUAGGCACUGUUCAUCUAAAACGGGGUGGACGAAGUGCCUGAGUAGUGCGAGCAUCUACUGCAACUAUUCUUCCGAAGGUUCUGAGUUUCUCAGUCUAGGUCAAAUCUAGUGAGUAUAGGGUCUCAUCACUCGGAACUUUAGUCUCUUUACUAACUGAGGGUGUUAGCUACUAUAUGGGCUUAGCCGGUAUGACAACAAUUUCGGAUCUUGUGAUCAUUAUAAUAGCUCAACCCGCAGUGGUUCUCUUGACUCCAGCUCCUAUUUUAUGGAAUAGGAUGAAGGGCUUUGCUAUGAGGUUCGUGGUAGAGCUCAUACUCGGCUUAACCACUAAUACUUGGUGUAUGCAAGCAGUAUAUAAUUGAGGUCGACAGGAUGUUCAGCUGUGCGACUCCACCCCAAACCUACAACCCAACGAGGAACAGGGAGUAGGGAGGAAACACACACAUUAAAUCUUUUUGAUCUCAAUUGUACACCACCUUUAUGCAUAUACCUGGUUAUAGUGGUUCUUCCUUAUGAGUUCUAAUCUCUAGGUUUACGAACCUGACGUGCGAGGUGCGAAGGGUCUUUCUGGGGAUUCUAUGAAGUAUGCUUCGGAUGGUUAUUGUCUUCUGGAGUAUCUUGCAGUGUCUUUCGCUUCGGUUUCCAUAUGACUAUGAAGGGUCGGUCAAUAGCGCGCGGUACCCUUCUCUUGGGUACUUCGGAAGGUUUGAGGUAAAAGGGACGGCUGACGGAUCGCCUUAGGUUUGAUUAUUUGUGUUAUGUUUUUAGGUUCGGAAGUACCUUUAUUUGCCGACAUGGCUACGGAGAAAGUUCUUUUUACACAGCACUAAGAAUGUACACAUGGUUGCACGAAGUCAAACCACGAUCAAUAGAGUCGUCGAAUUUGGCACACUCCGACAUGAUAUAUAAUGAAGAUCGAUAGAGUCAUGUGCCGAACAGGCACACAAGUUCUAGGCGUCUCGGGUUUCGUCCUGUGUAUCACUACCGCGGGUACUUGGACCGAUAGAGUCGACGCGGAACUAUAGAGAGUCCUAAGUGUUUCCGAAUAGAGUACCUUUUCAUGAAUGGAUUCUCACAAGGAAUUUCUAUAAUAGCCUAACAUAUACUAGUCAUGUAUAUUUAAGGUGGGGAGUUUACGGCCCAUGAACCACCCCUAUGGGAGUUCACGGCCGUGAACUCUUAUUCCUUGAGUUUAUUGAAGUUUCAAGACCCUAUUCCAACCCUAGUAAUUUAUAAUGAUAGUCUAAGGCCAUUUGGAGGAUAAAACCAACAUCUUGGCAUGGUUUGGGGUGUUUACGGCCUUGACACAUGUCUGGGCCGUAAACUCCUUUUCAUCCUUCCUUUCCUUGUGUUUAAAUGAUCUAAACCCUAAAUGGUAUGCCCCUAAUUUAUGUAUUAAGUCCAAGGGUGUUUUAGGAGUGUUUUUGGAGCACUUUUGCAAGUUUAAGAGGUGUUUACGGCCUAAGCAUGCGCUUGGGCCAUAAACUCUCUUUUGUGCCCUAAAACCUUGUGUUUUGUUAUUUAAACACUCCUAGGCUAAACCCCCAACUAGUUUCCAAGCCUUUAGGGACAUUUUAGGGUCAUUUUGGCCUCUUUUUAGGGGUUUACGGCCUAAGGAGGCUCUUAGGACGUAAACUCCAUUCUAACAGCUUCUAAGUCCGAUUUUUGGGUUUUAACAACAAUAAAACAUGCUUAGAAUAAGUUAGGGUUGAAGGCCUUAAGUUUAGGAAUCGGGAAUCGCGGUUUUGGAGUCGAAAACGAGCCUAGAGAGAGAGUAUAGAGAGAGAGAGGGUGGAAAAGGCUCAAAUGGAGUUUACUCCCCCUUAUAUAUGGGUGGGAGUUGGAGCUCAGUGGGAAUCUACCCAAUACUGUCGUUUAACGAGGCUUUUGGUCGUACCCGAUUUAGGGGUCGUAAUAAUAAAACUAACUUUUUUCUAAAUUACUAUGGAAAUGUAAUUUAAGUGUUUUCUUUUACUUUAUUAUGACUAUAACGACAUAAAACAUAAAUAAAUAGAACAUUUAUUUAUUUGACGACCUCUUAUUAACGGAACUUUUAUACAGUGGAACAUUCCGUUAACGGUAACGGGGUAAUGUAACGCAAUAACUUUGGGUUGUCACAGAGAGUAUUAGUCCCUUAAGCAUUUACAAUUUGUAUAUAUUAUGUGGUUCGAUAUACUUAGUUCACAAUAAACAUUGCUCUGAUACCAAUCUGUCAUACCCCCAAACCGGAACGGCGGAAACAUUUGGGGGCGGAUGACUUCAUGUGGUAACGUAACAAAUGAAUACAUAGUAAAGAAAGCAAUUUAACCAUCAUAUAUAUAAUUGAAAGUUUACAUUGUUAAAAGAUACAUGUUCAAAACCAAUUACAAUAUGAUGCCAAAAUAUGAAUUUAAACUGGCGCCGCAGCGUCCCUUCUUCAAAAGUUGUUUGUUACCUGUAAUUACUGAAUCCCUAGGACAUACAAAUAGUUUUGAAAGAGUAGAUCAGCAGUUAAGCUGGUGAGUUUCAUAAGUAUUAAAUGACAAUGUUUGUAUGAAAUGAAAUGUUUUGUUUUUGUUUGUUUGUUCCUAGAAAAUCCCAUAUUUUCUACUAGCCUGAAUGUAGCCUUCUAUCAAGACCAAUGUUUGUUUCUAGAAAAUUUAUGUACGUAUAAAAUUUUGCCAAUACGUCUGAAAAACCCCGUAAAUCAAUGUAUUUUUAAUACUCCAUGUGAGUUUUAUAACCAUGCUAUUGACUAGAAAUGCCUAUACACAACGUUCUUCAGGCGUUGGAAUGUUCUGACGUUUGUCACCCCAAAUGGUGUACUGUAGCUAACAGUCAGGGCGCGGGGUUGUCAAUCCCGUAUAGAUCUAUACACAAACACCAUGCUCCCCCUCCAAGGGAUUCUGGUAUAUAAUACAGGACUUGAAAUGUGUACUCGAACGUACGUGAAGUUAAUGUCUCACAAAACUUAGUAUAAAACAGAUUUACGUGUGAAAAUGUUCGUUUGUUCUUGUAUGUGAAAGAAACUUCUUGAAAUAGUGUUUCUAGUAUGUAAAAGUUCGUGAUGUUCUCGUAAAACUAUACCUAUUAUAGUUUUCUAAAAGUGUGUCUCGUUUGUAUAGUAAUCCCUAGUGAAAUGCUCACUUGUUAUGAAAAGUAUAAUUGUUGUAGUGCCUAAGAUGGACACAUAUACAUACAGUAUAAGCAGAGUGUUUGAUUUAUACAUAUAUAACAACAUUUUUCAUUUCCAAAGAUAUGAUGUUAUCGUGAUAUAUUUUGCAUACGAAAGUUUCCCUAUAAUAGUUAUAAAUCACAUACGAUUCCGUUGAUAAAAAGUGUAUAAUGAAACUUUAUAUAACACACGAUAAUAAUCGUGUGUUUUACUUGUAUUCCCCCCUUAAAAGCAUAUAAAAGCAUUUAUAAAACAUUUAAAAGUGUGGAUUAUAAGGGUAUGAACUCACUUGAAAGAUCGAAAAAGGUGAGAUGAAAUCCGAGCAGAAAUUCGACUCGAGAAAGCGGAUUUUCUCGGGAUUCUCGGGAAUCUCGGGAGCACAAACGACCUUCGGGACUUGAGCAAGGAAAUCGGGGCUUCGGGGUAGCACGGGCACAGAAAACGAGGCAAUAACGCAAGAAAGUUGAGAGAAAUUGAGCCCUUUCUUCGGAACGCUCGCAUCCCUUUUAUAAGGGGUGGGAACCGCCUCGGUACGCUAGGCGUACGCGUGCGUAUGCGUGACCUCCUCCUCGACUGCCUCGGAGCUUCGGAUGGGACGAGGCAUAGCCUCGCAUAGGGGCGACGUGGACGAUCCGAGGCCUAGUCCUCGAGUACGCUGGGCGUAACUCGGAUCGACCUGGUGACUCAUCCUUCGGAUAAUGUCGAGAUUAAAUAAUAAAAUUUAUAUUUUAUUUAUUUAAUAAACUUCAAAAAUUCAUAUCUUCUUCAUACGAACUCCGUUUUCGACGUUCUUUAUAUCCACGCGUAGGUGAGACUACGCUCUACAACUGUCGUUUAGAUUCCGUCGGCAAAUUUUGAAAUUAUUUUUAUUAUUUAUUUUUAAAAGGUCGCGGAAAGAAAAUUUCGUUAGAAAUUUAUAACUUCAUUAUCUAACGUCUGUUUUUGCCAGACUUUUUACCUAGUAAUACCAUUGUCGAGACCUUCGAUUCUCAUUUAGGUCAUUCCGGCCAAAAGUCGCUCGAUCUCCGAUUCGAGUUUUUAGAUGUCUGUCGCUAAGCCGAACUUGGAAAAAUCAUAACUUCAUUAUACGAAGUCAGAUUUGGGCGUUCUUUUUACGUACGAUCACGGUUUAACGUCAUCUAACAUAGUAGGUAAUAAAUUUGAGAUUUUUGGACAUUUUAUUUUCGAAGUUAAUUUCAUUAUAUCAAAAGUGGUUACAAUACUUGACUUUUUAGGUCAUUACAUAGAGUUGAAAUAUCGGGUUGUCACAGCUGAGCCUUUGGGCUUGAAAAAAGAAAAUAAAUAGCUUAUCUUGGGCCAUUGCUUGAUAUUUUUCGAAACCGUGGGUCCAUUUAGUAAGUUUUCGGUCCAUUAGGCUUUUAGGAUGGUUUACGGCCCAAUAAGCAUAAAAGAAUGGGUUUUAUGGCCCAUUAAGGUUAAUUAAAUUAUUUAUGGCCCAACAAGGCUCAUUAGGGUUAGGAUGAAUCAUUCUAGACCCAAAUUGCCCAAAAUGUUAUAAAUUUAUGAAUUGGGUCCAAUAACAGAGUCCUAGUCCAUAAAGAACCUGAACCGGGAUUUCUAAGGUUUCCAACCCUUAGUUGAACAUGUGAGAUGUAUUUGAAUAAGCACCGAGUAGAAGUUAUUAUACUAGGUGAAUGAUUACAUGAGAGUGGAAUUUCCAAGUAAAAAUGCCAGUUGUGACAUCAUCCCCCCGUUAGAGGGAAUUUCGUCCCGAAAUUCCUUUGAAUGAUAGGGUCAUGAAUGAGAGAAUAGGUGAGGGUACUUCUGCUUCAUUUGGUUUUCGCAUUCCCAUGUGAAUUCCGGUCCACGCUUAGCGUUCCAUCGAAUCUUAACAAUCGGAAUGCGGCUCUGCUUCGUACACUUCACUUCUCUAUUCAUUAUCUUGACUGGUUCUUCGACGAAUAGAAGAUUCUCGUUUAUUUCAAUAUCUUCUAAAGGAAUGAUAAGAGUUUCAUCAGAUAAGUACUUCUUCAAGUUCGAGGUGUGGAACAUGGGGUGUACCUUGCUGAGCUUAGCAGGAAGCUGCAACUUAUAAGCCACUGGACCAAUUCGGCAAGAAUCUCGAAUGGUCCAAUAUAGCGCGGGUUCAGUUUUUCCCCGUUUCCCAAAAUGGAUCAUCCAUUUCUAGGGAGAGACCUUCAAUAGGACCUGAUCUCCGACUUGAAAUUCUAGAGAUUUUCGUCGAUUGUCCGCAUAGCUCUUUUGUCGGUCUCGCGAUGUUUGAAGUCGGGCUUUGAUUUUGGAUUAUUUUUUUGGUAUUCUCACAGAUGAUUUCUGGUCCUAUGAGAGUGCUGUCUGGUGAUCGUCCUUUUGCUAGUUGGGUGUCACUCACCUCAGUCCAACAUAGAGGCGAUUUACAUUUACGACCAUAAAGAGCCUCGAAAGGAGCUACCUUGAUGCUCGUGUGAUAGUGGUUGUUGUAUGAGAAUUCAAUCAAGGGAAAAUGGGUAUCCCAUGAAUUGACGAAAUCAAUCACACAGGUUCGGAGCAUGUCUUCGAGUGUUCGAAUGGCCCGUUCACUUUGGCUAUUGGUUUGAGGGUGGUAAGCAGUGCUCAUGUCUAGCUGUAUUCCCAUAGCCUUCUAGAGUGACUGUCAAAAUCGUGAGGUAAAUCUACUAUCCCGAUCCGAGAUUAUAGACACUGACACUCCAUGGAGUCUCACGAUCUCUUUGAUAUAGAUUCGUGUUAAUCUUUCCAGUUUGUAUAAUUCUUUUAUUGGAAGGAAAUGAGCAGAUUUGAUUAACCUAUCGACGAUCACCCUGUUAGUGCUCAAUCCAACUCUUGUAAUAAUAAGCUGCAUCUUUUUGUCUUUGAGAGUUUUAUCCAAUCCAUGCAGUGCUUCUUUCGCGAUAUUCUCCGGAUUUGAUGUCUCCAAAGUCGGUCGUAGGUGUUAACAAUGUUUGUUCUUGUUUCAUGAGCAGACGAGUAUGUUAUUGAUGAACAUAAUUAAAAGGCUGACUAGGAAUGGUUGGGAAAACUCUGUUAGUAGGGUUCAUGAAUACCGUGGGAGCAUUCGUUAGACCGAAGGGUAUCACAACGAAUUUGAAAUGGUCGCGAUGAGUUCGGAAAGAAGUUUUUGGAAUGUCGUCUUCUUGUACUCGAAGUUGAUGAUAACCGGUUCUUAGAUCUAUUUUAGAGAAGUAACUAACUCCUUGGAGCUGGCCAAAUAGGUCGUCCAUCCGAGGGAGUGAGUAUCGGUUUUUGAUAGUGAGCUUAUUCAAUUUCCUAAAAUCGAUGCACAUUCUGAAGGAUCCGUGUUCUUGACGAGAAAGACCGGAGCUUCCCAAGAUGAGAAGCUUGGUUCGAUGAAUUCUUUGCUCAAAUUUUUUCUUAAUUGACUGGUUACCUCCCGAAUUUUGGCGGAAGCUAACCUAUAGGGUGAAUUGGCAAUUGACGUCGCUCUCGGUAUGAGGUCGAUUAGAAACUCGACCUGUCUCUUUUGGGAAUUCCCGGAAGGUCUUCAGGAAAUACAUCCGGAAAAUCGCAUGCUACUGGAAUACCUUGUAUGCUUACUUCUUCCUUGGUCUUGUCCACAACAUGAACGAGGAAAACGUAGUUCUUAUGGUGCAGGCACUUUGAUUCCUUGAUGCACGAGAUAGGACGAGGAUUGACACCAAGUUUAUCACCAUGGAUUAUUAGAUUUUCAUGAUUGGGAAGGUGAAGGCAAACAACCUUCUCGUGACACAUAGUAUCAGCAUGGUGGGGGCUUAACCUAACCAUGCCGAUUAUCACAUGAAAACUCCUAAUAUUUACUGGCAUUAAAUUUUAUUUGAAAUGAAUGGUUGUUUAGUGUUAAGGUAUACCCUACAUAAAUAUCUUUGGUUGAUUCGGUUUUCCCAUUAGUCAUCUCCACCGUUAGGGCUUAGUUUAGACUCUGGGGUUGUUGUUUUAGUAAGUGCUCGAAUUUGUUACCAACGAAGCUUCGCUCAACUUCACUAUUGAAUAAGAGGUAAGCAAAAGAGUUGUUAAGUGGGAACAUACCAGUAACAACUGUUGGGUCUUGGACUGCUUCUCCUUGACCCAAGGUCAGGACCAUUUCUGAUCCUUUUGCUCCUUGAUUGUUAGCCUUGGGGCAAUUGCGCUUGAAGUGACCAGUUCCUCCACACCCAUAGCAGGUGUAACCGGUCUCAUCAUUGGUGUUGUUGUUAAGGUUGUUGCGAUUGUUGUUGUUUUCGUUUGGCUGACGAUUCUGUUGUGGAUAAGUUCUACAAUAUUUGGUAGUGUGAUUCUUUUGGUUGCAUUUCUUACAAUGCAGCUCCCGCCAGGCUCCCUUAUGAUGGAAAUCGCACUGGUUGCAUUUUGGAAGGCUUCUAGCAUAUGGUCUCGUGGCUGUUGGUGUAAUAGGGGUCAUGGUCGCAUGAACAACAACAACAUGUUGGUUCUUUGAGAACCCUUGAGUGGGUUGUCUCUUUCUCUUACUUCCAGACUUCUCCUUCCUGCUCUUAAGCUUGGGAUUUGGAGUUCCUUGAUAAGCUGUCACUUGUUGGUUUCCAAGUUCCUUCCCUCGGCUGGAGUUUUCGAUGCUAUUUCCACCUUUAUUGGUGUUGUUUGCAUUGAGUUGUGCUAUAGUAGCGGUUACUACCGCUGUUACAGUAGCUUGGAAUGUAGCGAAGUCCAUCCGUAUGAUUGGUGUCUUACGGGCAUGCUUGUUAUCUUUGUGGGAUGACAUUUUCUUGCUGCACGUUGAUAAGCCAGGUCAUAAGUAAUGAUCGCCAUUCCUAGUUGUACUCUAUAACUUUUGCAUCUUGUUAUAUAAUUCUCACUGCUUCCAUCUACAUCCCUAUGAUGUAUUUACGGUAGUAGGUAAUCGCAGAUUUGGCACGAUCGUUACGGCUAUCCUUAGAGUAUAUGGGUUGUUUCAGUUUCGAGAUCCUUAAGAAUCUAGCGGUUUUGAGGGUUCGGUUGUGCAUAUAAUUGAGUUUAUGUAGUAACCUGAAAUAAAGAUAGCACAUAAUUGUUCCAUUGGUAAGUACCAUCUUAGUACACGAAAGAGAGUCAUAUCGGAUAGUAGGGGGGAAAAAGAAAAGGCUAAUCCUAAUUGUGGCGGAAAGUGUCUGGUGGUGGUGCUGAUGAAGUGGAUGCACCUCGGAGAUGAGCUACUUGUUGCUUGGUAUCUCGUAGUCGUACCUCUCAAACUAACUGUCUCGCUCGGGAGUCUCCGUUCACUUCUUGUGUCUGUCUCUCAACUCUCUCUAUAGCAAACCGCAUUUGUUCCGUUUGAUUUGGGGUAUCCUGAGCUUGGUUAUCAAUACCUCGGGUGCGCCGGACCAUGACUGGGAGGGCCCGGUCAGCUGGUCCUCUAUGACUACGAUCGAAGAGACCUCGGUUCCUACCAUAGUGUGGUCGUAUCCCCUGUUGGUGACUCUAUCUCCAAAUAUCGUGUGCCCAAGGGGGCAUGGGGCCAUCGGGGCCCACACGAUAAGUCGGUACUCUAGCCCUACAUGGAGGAUUGAUGACAUCGGAUUCUGCAUCCGAGUCAUCAUCAUUGCCCUCGGGCUCUUCCUCUUCGAGGUCCACUAUUGACUCGGCAUGUUCAUCUGCAAGUUCUACUUCGUGUUCCUCCUCUGGUUCUUCCUCUGAGUCGCCUUCUGGGUCUUCCUCUGGGCCAAGCCACCCUGUUAUUCCCUAACUAGGGAGAUAGGGGUUUCCUGGCUAAUAAUACUCGUCUAUCGUGUAUUGCACGAAGGGGUAUAAACACCAGAAACAGAUAGCAUACCAAUUACUUCUAUAGUAAUUAAAUUUUGUUUAGGUUUGGUUCUAUAAGCUCUUUGGAUAAUUAAAUGGUAAGUUUUUAAUUCAUUGUCCAUCAUGAUUACUCCCGAACACAUGUUGGUCAUAUUUUGAAUAAAUGUAGUUGAUCAGGCUACAUUCAUCCCCUAAUACGACUACAUAACCGCCCGAGUUUAAUAGCGAUGUUCAAAUCCUCCAAAGAAUUUUACUGUUCUUGUCGUGCUAUUAUUCUAAAAUGCACACAAAGGUAUGUAUUUUAAAUUAUUAUGUUCAGAGUUGUUUAGUCUCAUUGUAUUUAUAGUUGCAUAUCCUGUAUGAUUAGAUAUGCUAGUUCACUAUAAACAAUGUUCUGAUACCAAUCUGUCACACCCCCGAACCAGACGGCGGAAACGUCUGCGGGAGUGUGCGUGACUUCAUCUUGAAAUAUCAUUACAGUGAAUAUAAUUGAAACAUAACAUCAUCAUCAUCACAGAUGUAAUAUAACAACAUUCAAUGUUUACAUCGAGUAUUGUAUUUGAAUAUUACAUGCCAAAAUAAUAAGAGUAUGAUGAAACAAAAUAUAACACAAUAUCCAUUAGUGUGUUUCGUUCAUCCUGCUUCAACGGUUUCCUGAGAAUACAAGUUAUUUUGAAAACGAUCAACAUAAAAUGUUGGUGAGUUCAUAAGCAUGUUUGUGAAAAUGAUUUGUAUAAUUUUGAAACCACCAGAAAAUCCUAUAUUUUCUGCAAACUAUUUAGUAUGUUUGUGUUAGAUCUUGUAUUAAUGCAUGUAUGUUUUUGAUUAUUUUACUAAAAGGGUAAAGAGAAUGUAGAGAGAAUGUAAGGAGCAUGUAAAGAUAAUGUUCCCAGACAACCUGAUGUUGCAUGUAAAAGAGAAAACUGCCAUACCAACCCCCGAGGUUGAGUACCAGUACGAGUAUGUUUCCGAGUAAUCCAAGAGAAAAGAGAAUGGUCUUCUGUAAACAUCAUAACGUUAAUUCCUCUAAGUGAGUUGUCAUAACCAUACUAAAUAAUGACAAUUUCGCCGGUCUUGGCGUUGUUGGACGCCGGUUUUGAUUUUUGAUUAUAAGGUUUUCGUCACCCUAGACUGAGUUAGUCUAACUGUAGCGAACAGCUCAGGUGCGGGGUGUCAUCCCCGUAUAGAUCUAUACACAAAUCUUCGCUCUCCUUCUAAGAGACUCUGGUUAUAAGUACAUGCUACGAUCGUACACUUAAUAGAUGCCAACCGAUAAAAUUCACUAGAUCCUUAAUCGAUUUUACACCAAGAAAGGUAUAAUCUCAUUCCAGGCCCAAUGAACCAUGUAAGUGAACCACUAAGGCAUCGCUAAACAUGUAAAUCAUUUAAAGGCCCAAAUUGGAAUGAAAUUAUAUAACAUGGGNAAGACUGACUUGUCUUAUACAUACAUAUAUAUACAUAUAUAUAUAUAUAUAUAUAUUUAUAUGAAAGGACAAUUAAGGCCCAUUUCACAUGUAAGGUAUUUACAGACCCAAAUAGCACACAAAUUGUAUCUAAGGUCCGUUGCACAUGUUAAUGGGUCAAUGAGGCCCAAUAAACAUAUAAAUAGUAUACAAGACCUAUGACGCAUAAAAAUGGACCACUAAGGCCCAAUAACCUAGAAAAUGAUCAAAUUAAUUCGUUUGUUAAUUUAUCGUUGGUUUUGGUUCAAGUAUUUACUAAAAUCGCAUAAAAGCCCACUUUUUGUAAAAAUGACGUUCUUGGCCCAAUAAGCCAAAAAUUUACAAUUAAGGCCCAAUUUUUGUAAGAAAAACACUUUAGUCUCCAUUUUGUUCAAAACCUGUGUUGAUGACUAGUUUGUGGUAAAAAUAACAUUUUAAACCCAUUUUUGUCAAAAAUAUAAUUUUUGGCUUGAUUUUUGUGAAAACACACAUUUUUGGUUUUGGGUUUUUCUGAUCUAGUUGUUGGAAAAUUCGUAGAAAAAUCAUCGUAAUUCGAAAUUUGGAUCCGUAUAUUCUGGAAGUUUUUUGUCUUCUUAGUUCACAAUUUUUCUCAUAAUUUUUGAUACCCUCAAACUAGUGUGAAAUUACUCACCUUUACAGGUUGGUCCGAAAUUAUUUCAAAUAUGAUAGGCAGUUUUGUAAAAUUCGCCAACAAUUAUAGAAAAAUCGUAUGAAAACGUGAGAGUAGUCAUUUUAAAGGUAUAAACCUGAAAUUUGAGCAUGUAAAACAGUUUUGAAAAAUAUUACCAUUAAGGGGGUCAAAACAGUUCGAGAUUGGCCUAAAACGUUUCUAUCAAAAGCUGAUUUUUGAGUAUAAGUUAUUCAUGUUUGUUCACAACACUUGUUUUUGCUAUUUUAAGUGUAUAAAUCCCAGAUCUACAAGUUUAUAUGUAUUAUAUGUGAUAACACAUAUUUUUAUCAAGGUUCAUAUGAAGAUCCAAGUGGUAAACUCCAUAUUCUUAAACUUAUGAAGUAAGCAACACAUAAUCACCAAAUGAUUCAAGAAAACCCCCAUAAUCAUGCAUAUACACAUAGAUCUACACAAAUCAACUUGUAUUCUCCCCCAAAAACAAGUAAAAACCGAAAAAAAUGGGGUAUGAACUCACCUUGGGAUGAUGGAUCGGUUUUGGUGAAGAAGUGGAAGAAGAUUUUUGAUCCUAACAAGCUUUCUUGAGUAGAUCUUGAACUUAAAUGGUUCUAAGAACAUGAUCCACAAAAUAUGGGUGUAAGAGGAGAUUUUUGAAUAGAUCAAGAGGUUAAAUCAUAGAUCUAAGCAAAAACUUACCAAAGAGUGAUGACUUUUUGGUGGUAAACCUUCUUGAAAUUGCUCUAAAUCUCGAAAAACUUAGAAGCAAGUAGGGAUGUUGUUCAGAGAUUUGGAGGUGUUUGAAAGAAAGUGUGUGUGUAUGUGUUUGGGGCUUUCGGCCGACAAGAAAAAGAAGGGAGAGAAGAAAGAGAGUGAGGUGAUGGAAGUUCUUGAUGCAUGAGAUUUCUUGCAUGGAAUACCACAAUGUAAUAAGUAUGUGUCUAAUUCUCCUUAAUUCCUUUUUUUUUUUAAUAUAUGUUUAUAUAUACAUGGGCUGAGCCUUUAGGCUUGAAAAAAGAAAAUAAAUAGCUUAUCUUGGGCCAUUGCUUGAUCUUGUUCGAAACCAUGGGUCCAUUAAGUAGGUUUUCAGUCCAUUAGGCUUUUAGGAUGGUUUACGGCUCAAUAAGCAUAAAAGAAAGGGUUUUAUGGCCCAUUAAGGUUAAUUAAAUAAUUUAUGGCCCAACAAGGCUCAUUAGGGUUAGGAUGAAUCAUUAUAGACCCAAAUCGGCCAAAAUGUUAUAAAUUUAUGAAUUGGGUCCAAUAAGAGAGUCCUAGUCCAUAAAGAACCUGAACCGGGAUUUCUAAGGUUUCCAACCCUUAGUUGAACAUGUGAGAUGUAUUUGAAUGAGCACCGAGUACAAGUUAUUAUACUAGGUGAAUGAUUACAUGAGAGUGGAAUUUCCUAGUAAAAAUGCCAGUUGUGACAUGGAUGGUCUAUUAAAGGAAAUGAUUUAAGGAGGGACACAUGGAAUGAGAAGAAUGGAGAAAGUCAUUAUUUAUGGAGAGAGAGAGAGAGAGAGAGAGAGAGAGAGAGAGAGAGAGAGAGAGNNNNNNNNNNNNNNNNNNNNNNNNNNNNNNNNNNNNNNNNNNNNNNNNNNNNNNNNNNNNNNNNNNNNNNNNNNNNNNNNNNNNNNNNNNNNNNNNNNNGAGAGAGAGAGAGAGAGAGAGAGAGAGAGAGAGAGAGUUGGUAUUUAGGCAUGAUGUCACAUGUCUAGAAUUUUCUUUUGAAUCAUUGUUCUUCGGAUUUUAAGCUUGGGCAAAAUCAUAGUUUGAAAUUUUGAUUGUUAUGAAUCAUUUUUCUUCAUUUGUCUUCAAUUAAUACAUAAAUCUUGUUUUUUUUUUUUUUCAUUUUAUUGUUCCAUUUUUUAACUAAAAUUUCGGAUUGUCCGUUUCUAUCAAUUUGGUUCCAUUGUCGGAUUACCAUCCGACAUCAUGUUCUCCAUUGUUCAACCAACUUAACCCUAAGUCAACACUCCCCUCUAAUCUCGCAUCGAUUCCUAGGAUAAACAAAUCGAACAUUUCUCCACACAUAUCUAGGAUAUGUCCUCCACAGUUCUUCCAUGAAAGACCUCCUUCAAGAGCUCCUUAAAUCUAUGGAGGAGAUGAUUUAAGGACAUCCCAAACCUCCAGGAAAAAGCCCCAUGACCGACCUUAAUGAUGAACAAUAAGAACUCACGAGCCCCACUAAAUCAUACCUUCCCGAUUCCUCUAACUGCCAACCUCCCCACAUCGUCUCUCUCGUCCAUCUAUACUGAACUGGCACUUAUAUCGUCUCCUUCUUAAAAAAUAAUAUUCUGAUUUUUUAUAGGAAUGGAUCCAAAAGGUUGGUCGAGCAAAUUCAAGCUCUACUUCCUGGUUCAGCAGACUUCUCCGCUACAAAAUCUCUAUCUCUCUCAAAUAUGUAUAAAUGGUGCUGCACUGGUACACUAACUUACUGGUCAAACAUCCAACGACUACAUGAGAACAAUUUCGAACUAAGCUUCUAAAUUGAUUCAGUGGAACAAAAAAUUUCAUCGCACAUAAAGUUCUAGGUUCAUUGUUCCAAGACGACGAUGUAGAAUAAUGGGUUGAAGACUUUAAGGAUCUCUUCGCACUAAUCCCUAAUCAGCCAGCAGAACCAUCAAUUGGUUGGUUUCUUCAAGGAUUGAAGCUAGAAAUUUGUAAUUGGGUUCGAACCCUUAAUCCAUCAACUUGUGAUCAAGCUAUGGAAUACAUUCACAACACUGGAGUAGCCAUUGGAAACUACAAUGGAAAAUCAUUUCUAAGAAACGAUUUGGUAACCCUACUUCGGGCUUCUCUUAUUCCAAGGGUACUUUCCGCCCUAACAGGCUCACUCCCUCCCACCUUACACAAACUAGCCUACUACUAACUACCCACUUCAUGUGGGCCUCCGACCCAACACGUUUCCCUUUCCAAAGAAGUGAACCUGCUUCUAAAAGAUCAAGGUACCCAACACCUUACUAAACUCGAAUGGGAGGAUCGUCAUCAUAAUGGUUUAUUAUUUAGUUGUGGUUUGUGAUAUAAUACCCAACACAAAUGCACCGACGAUGGCCUUCAUGUUCUUUUGUUGGACGAUGAUGAAGAUAUUAACAACUAGGAGGAAAUUUUUCGAGUUAAUAAGUCUAUCACUAAUGAAGAAAAACUCAACAAAAAGUGUAAAAUACUUGAACCUUAUGGUCUUUAUCUUCUACUCCAACACUUCCACUGAACACAAUCAAAUUUUCCAACAAUAUUUUGGGUAUCUAUUCUCUUUUUUGUUGACUAUAUAGCCUCCUACAAUUUUUUCUCUCAAAAUUUAGUUGUUACUCUGGGCAUAAUGCACCCCUUUUAUCGAUUUGAUAUCAAAAUGGGGAAGAAUGUCUUGUAUGGAUGACCGAUCAGUGUCAGAAUAUUCCUUCCAGUUUGGAUCCUUUUCUUGCAAAUUUACGAUUUAGGGAACCUUGACAUGAUUUUAGGUAUCGUAUGGCUACACACUAACACCCAUAAAAUCCAUUUUUUGCAUAAUUAUGUUCUCUUGCAUCUCCAAUGCUUCACUCCACCUUUCGAACAAUUCUCCACCCUUUAGACUUGCAUUGAUGACUAGUUAGAAUGCUAACCUACAUCCUUGUUCAACCUGAUUUGGAUCCAACAUAUAUUGACCAACAAGAGCACCCUCUUUCUACUUUUACCUCUCUUUUUCAAACUCAUACUGCCUUCCACCAUAAUGUUCGAUUCAACACACCAUUAAUGUGAUCGACGGUCAUGAUCCUGUUGCUUUCGUCCAUAUAGAUACCAACACAUCGACAAAAGACGAGAUACAAAACAAGUCCUCAAAAGGCUUGAUCAAGGCAUCAUCCUAAGUCAAAGCUCUUUUGCAAACCUUAUAAUUCUCGUUUAAAAGGAUUCUUCCUGGAGAUUAUGUAUCAACCACAAAGCCCUCUACCGUUCCACUAUCCUUGAAAAACAUAUAGUUCCAAUUGUUGAGGAAUUGCUUGAUGAGAUUCAUGACAAUAAUAAUUUUCCAAGAUCGAUUUAAAAUAUGGCUUUUACCAACUGGCUUUUUACAAAGUAUGUGUUCAUGAAUAUGAUAUCAAGAAAACUACUUUUCGAACCCAUAAUGGUCUUUACGAAUUUAUCAUAAUGUCAUUUGACUUUACAAAUGCCUUAGCAACUCAAUUGGGUUGGUGGAACAGUUAGAGGCUUUCUUUUAUUUUCCUUUUUAUUUUUAAUCAUUUUGAGCAACUAAACAAUGUUUAAGUUUCCAAUGGGAAUACUCUUACUAGUUUCCAUGCUCUCAUGACCAAUGUAUGUCGUGCUCUUCUACGAAAGCACGUACUUCGUUUUUUGACAAUAUAUUCAUCUACAACCACACUUAGGAUCUCAAGCUUCUUAAUAUAGUUAUGUCACACUAACUAUCCGUGAACCAAAAAAGAAAUAGUCUUGAACUUCUUUCAAUUGAUUAUAUUGGACAUGUCAUACACGAAUAUACCAGUAUGUAUGAAUCCAUACAAAAUCGAUUAUGUUGUCAACUAGCCCAUCUCUAGAACCAUUAGGGAGUAUGAAGUUUCUUGGUCUCAUUGGACAUUACGUGAAGUUUAUUUAGGGGUAUGGAAAAAUUGCUAGAACUCUUGCCAACUUCACAAAAAUAAAAGAUGGAUUUCUUCAUCCCAAACGGCAUUUGGGGAUCUAAAAUAGGCCAUGAUCACAACCUGUUCUUGCACUUCCGAACUUUUCUCUACCGUUUGAAAUGAGUGUGACGCAUCGGGAUAAGGACUUGUCAUAACUUUGAUGUGAUUAAAAUGUCCCAUUCUUCGGUAAAGCUUUUUCAGACCACAACCUUUAUAAAUUCUUCUACGAUAGAGCUCAUGGCUCUAGUUCUCGCAAUUCAAAAGUAUUGUCCGAAUUUACUAGGUAGUCCUUUUACCAUUUCCACAUAAAAAUCUUGAAGCUCCUACUAUAACAACACAUUGCAAAAACCGAUCAACAUAAUUAGGUAGCUAACCUCAUAGGCUACCACUUUUAUAACUAAUAUGUGACAACUGUCAAUUCUGGAUCAAACAAAGUCAACAAGUGUACCAAGUCAACUCGACUAGUAUUAGGAAUUUGGGAUAAGUAUAAUGUUCAUAAUGUUCCUAAUGUACAACUUACAAAUAUUAAUACAAAGUACGUCGCUUUUCAUCAAUUAUUGAAUAAAAAUCCUAUUUAGGGUUAACAACGCAAAAUUCGAUAAUUCAAGUAUAUAUUAUUUGGGCAAAAAUAAUAUUCAUAACAGAAUGUGCUAAUAUCUUUGAUGAUAUUGAGGUUUUUAUAAUAAUAUAAAUUUUUAUGAUUUAAACUAAGUAAUUAUACAUUAUUUUACCACACUUUUUAUAAAAUAUCACUCUUUUUAUAAAAACAAUACCAACAUUUUAUAAAAAAUAAGAGGGUUGACUUUGCCCAUAACUAGACAAGACUUGCCUCAUCAUUUCUAACAAAAUCUUUACCCAACAAACAACCAAGUUUUAGACAACAUAUAACCAUGCAUGCCCACCUCACCCCACCCCUACCCACUACCCUCCCUCUCUCUUUUAUGUUGCGGUCGAAAGACCCUUCACCCACAUCAUCAUCUUCAUUUUCACCUCUUUCUCUCAAGAAAAAACUUCAAUCCUCCAUAUAUUCAUUCUUCCAAGUUGGUUCUUAAGAGUUUGGUAAGUAUUUCCUUCAUAAUCUUAUGAUUCUACACACAUGUAAACUAGUUUCAAUCCAUUUACACACAUUAUCAUGUGUUAUUAUCCAUAGGGUUUUCAAAUCUUCAAGUGUUCUUCAAGAGUCUUCGAGUGUUCUAAGCUUGAAAACAUUCAUCUUCAUCUCUUUAUCCAACCACAAACACACUCAAGGUGAGUUCAUACCUUCUAGUAACUAUUAAUAACCAUAUUUCAUGCAAAUAAUACUUUAUAUACAACAUAGAGAUGAAGCAUGCAUAACAAAUUGUAUAAUUAUACAAUUUGUUAUGCAUGCUUCAUCUCUAUGUUGUAUAUAAAGUAUUAUUUGCAUGAAAUAUGGUUAUUAAUAGUUACUAGAAAAUUUAUAUGUGGUAUGUUAGUUUGAGAUACAAAACUAAGAAAAACAAAUAUAAUCAUGCUAUAUGUUCUUAAGAAAAAGUUAUAACCACAAAGCUAUAAAUACUAGGAUUUUUAUGAACAAAAUAUGACUUUUCUAGAAAAAAUGGUUAUAACCUAGUUAUUACACCAUUUUUUAGGAUGUAAACCAAAAUAUGUUAUUUGUGACAUAUGUCUUGAAACUAGUCAACAAUAUCAAAGAUUUAGUUUUACAAAAAGAAAACUUAAAAAUCUAUCAUUUUAUGUAAAAGUGGGUUUUCUAAAAAAAAUGGUCAUAACUAGAUUAUGACACCAUUUUUGUGGGUUUUGACCAAAAAUAUGUUGUUUUAAACAUAUAAAGACAACUUGACUUAAAGAUCCCCAAAAUAUAAAAAUAAGUUUUACAAAGUUAUAUUUCACUAUUUAGUGGCUAUGUCAUGCUAAAUGUUCAUAUAUUUGUGCUAGAUGUAAGCUAUAUGGUAUAAACUUUUAACAAAAACAUCUAAACAUGUUAACUUAUAUGCAUUUAUAUAUAUGAAUAAAUAUAUGGACACAACAAAACGUUUAUAAUAAACUAUAAUUGUAUAGUUUAUGGGUCAUUAACAUUAUUUUAUCAUUUUGGAUGAAACAAUAUGGAAAAGUAAUACUUCCACUUGCAAAAGUGUUUUCAAUACGCCUGAAGAACGUCGCAGCAUGCCAACUAGUCUUAGCAUGGUUGUAAUAACUCACAUGGGGUAUUAACAAUACAUUUGGUUUAAGGGGCUAACAAAUCUUCGAAUGGUUUUAUAUAAUAAUAAAACUACAUGAUACGAUUUUCCAGUACAAUAAUACUUACAUUUUUUGUCUUAGGGUUUAAGACUUACAACUCACUUGUAAAAGGUGGUGAAUGAGUACACGGGGAGUAUGUGAUUGUACGCUCAACGUACUCAUAUGCAUUUGACGAGGAAGCCACCUAGUACGCUGGGCGUACUAGGCCCAGAGUGAAAACCCUAAUUUAGGGUGAGACCCCUAUUUAAAGGAUAUGAUGGCCUCAUUCCUGGCCACCAUUCUCAGACAACAACCCUCCUAAACCCUAGUUUUUGUUCUUAGAGUUUAUGAGUGCAUUUGAGAUCCUUGAGAGUAUUCUUGUGUUUCUUUGGAGUGAAGAAUGAGCCUUGAAGAAGGAGUGGGAUUCCAGGCCUUGGAUCUGAGCUUAUGUGAGUGUGGAGCUUCAUCUUGAGGUAUAAAUCUUCAAGAUUUCCCACUCUUUUGUUUUGUACAUCUUAGUAGAGUAUUUUAGGGUUUUGUCCCAAAAGAUGGAGACUUUAUGAGAUAUUGUACUCCAGAGACCAUGAUCAACCCCCUUUUAGUGUAUUUAGUGUUGAAGUGUCAUAAAAAUCCAGUCUUGGACGUUGGAAUCAAGCCAUGCAUGAAAUAUAAGCUUCUUGCGUUAAGAAAAUGGAUGUUUUAUGUGAUUAUGACCACAUCAGCCAUGCAAAGGCUUAAAGUCACUGACUUUAUGGAGUAAGAGCUGUUAGGGAGUCCAGAUCUGUGAUUUAAGCCAAGGUCUUAACUGAUUAAGACCAAAUUAGUGAGAAGAGUGAAACUGGGAUGUAUGUUGGGCGUAAUCCCAAUACGCGUAGCGUAGGGGUCGUGCAUCCCCGAUGUCUGCAUGGAAGCUAAGUACACCCAACGUAGAGAGCUGGUACGCACAAUGUACUCCCUGUUGUUGACUUUUGGUUGACUUUUAGGGUUUGGUCAAUUUGUGGACAAUUAUGGCCAUUGAGGGGUAAAAUGGUCUUUUACCCUUCUGUGAGAUUGUAGAAGGGUUAGUGUAGUUUCUUGAGAGUCGUGAUUAAUUAGAGAUAAUUGUCGUAUGUGUUAGGCGGAGGCUAGACCGGUGAUUUGAGUUCAAGAUUAGCCGAUUUCUUGCAAGGUGAGUCUUCUCACUAUACUUACCAUGAACAGUAUCUUUGUGUGGCUGAGAUGUCUUAUGUGCUUAUCUAUGUAUUGCGAUAUUCUGCAUUAUGUCUUUGUGAUUUAUGCUGAGUAUUAUUAUGAUGAGCUUAUUGAGUUAGGACCGGAGGGUCCACCCGAGUUGUAGGAGUGGAGGGUCUCCACUGGAAUACAUUGAUCGGAGGGUCGUAUUGAGUUAGCCUCGAGUGGCUAACGCGAUGUGUGUGGUAUUUUUGGGAACUCACUAAGCUUCGUGCUUACCGUGUUAUGUGUUAUGUGUUUCAGGUACUCCCGAGGAUCGCGAGAAGGCUCCGGCUUAAUUGUACACACACUCGUAUUGGAGAUAUGUUUUGGAGGAUUCUGGAUCUAUGAUAAACAAUUUUUGAAAAUGUGUUGAUGUUUGAAAUUUGGAGAUUUUUUAGAAAUACGACGUGUUUAUUUGUGUUUGAAAAUGAAAAAAAACAUUUUGGUUUGAAUUUUUACGUUGUUACAUCACUUUUAAAGAAAAUAUUGGAUUUUCUGAAAGCAUACUAUAUCAUUUUUAUAAGGAUAAGUUACAGAUUUUUCCCAUACAAAACUCUUAUGAACUCACCAACUUAAUUGUUGACACUUUUUCAAAACUAUUUGUAUUCUCAUGAAACCCAUAAACAGGUAAUCAAAAGUUUUUGAGGAUGAGGCAUCACAACAUCACAUUAAUUACUUUUGUCAUAUGUAUUUGGUAUUGAAACAAAUAAUGUUUUGGAUACAAUGUAAUCUCCUUAAUUAUAUUAUGAUGGUUGUCUCUCUGAUCACUAUUAUUCAUUAUGUUAUGAUAUUGUUCAUGAAGUCAUCCACCCUCAGACGUUUUCGCCAUUCUGGUUUGGUGGUGUGACAUAAUAUAACCCCGAAGACUAAAAUCAGGCCACCGAUGACCUAUCUUAUAUCUUAGAAGGCGAGCUUUGCUCUCUUGUAUCAAGUCUAACUUGUCUUCCUAGUUCUUAACUUCUGGAUGGAAUCGACCACGACUCUAAACCAUACUUUUCUUUGGUCCCAAACAAACUCUAUAUAAAGGAAGGUUGGUCAUUCCUUCUAAUUCAUAGUGUAGAUUCCCUUCCUGAUUAAUGAAUUCCACUCUAACCCUUCCCGGGGACAUUCAAGCUUCUUUUAGACAUUUUGAUGAUUGGGAGCUCAACCUUAUUGGAUUGACAUGUUUAAAAAUGUGAAGGUAUGUGUUUAUUCUUGUGACAUAUUUCAACAUUUUAAAGCCACUAAUCUCUCCUCCAAUAGUAUAUUAUAUCCCCUCUCCAUUCCUAAUUUGUUUUGGGAAGACAUAUUAAUAGAAUUUAUUACCGACCUUCCAAAAUUGAAGGAAGUUUUAAGGCGGUACUUGUGGUUGUGAACUGUCUCUCAUAAGUAUUGUCAUUUCAUCCGAAUAAAGCACCCAUUCAUAGUUUGUUCCCUCGCCGAAACAUUUUUAAAGAGAAUCAUCCACUUACACGACAUCCUAAAGAGCAUUCUUAGCGAUAUAGACCUUCUCUUCUAGCACUUUCUAGAAAUAAACUCUCCCUACAAGGUAUAAAAUUUAAAUUUAGUUCAACCUACCAUCCUGAAAUUAAUGGUCAAGCUAAAGUUGUUAAUUGUAGUUUAGAGACUUACUUGCAAUGUUUUAUUACUGGACAACCAUAAACCUAGUCCUCCUGGUUGCUAUGGUCUGAAUAUUGGUACAAUACACCUUAUCAUGUCUCUACUAACACCACUCAUUUCGACAUAGUUUAUGACAUGCCUCUUCCUUCCAUUCUCCUAUUCAUUCUUGAUGAAAUUUAAUUUAGUGACAGGAAACCUCAACUGAUGAUCCCACAUGUAAAAAUGCAUUCAUAAUUCAAUCUAAGUUUCUCGAUUUUAGGCUUAAGGUCAAACCUAUUGCUCAAGGAGUCAACCUUGAUAAUGAUUUUAACCCUUAUUCCUUUGGAUAGUUUGUAGAAAGAAAGAAAAAAAAACAGACUAGGACACAUAGAAAUAAAAGAAUGGAGAAGACCGUUAUGCAUGAAAAAUAAGCGAGGAAGAAUAAUAUAAGUUAGAUUUUUGCAUGAUGUCACAUAUCUAUAGUUUUCUUUUGCAUCCUUACUCUUAGAAUUUUAAGCUUGGAUAAAAGCAAAUCAUAGUUUGAUUUUUUUUGGUUGUUUUGAAUCAUUUUAUUUCAUUUGCCUUCGAUUAAUACAUAAAUCUUUUUUCUACAAUUCCAUUUCAUUUUUCUAUUGUUUGAUUUAGAACUUCCUUUUUAUCCAUUUCUAUCACAAUAUGUUCACAUUAUUGAUGGAUUCUCACAAUAACAACGAUUUGUAGGACAAUUAUGAGCUUAUACGAUCAACUUCUAACUUUAAUUCUAGCUCAUCGGUAUUAGGUAAUGUCUUUCUUUUAGAGGUCGAGGGUUCAAGUCAUGUAUGUGACAUAUGUGGAUUAAGGGGUAGUUUAGAAGUAGGUUACAUUUACCUUUCAAAAAUAAAAACAAAAACAAAAACAAAAACAAAAACAAAAACCUUAGUUGACAUUAAGAUUUUUGUGGGUUGAAACCAAAUUAAAUCUAUCUAUCUAUAUCUAUAUCAUAUGAUAUCAUCAUAUCAUACUAUAUUAUUGUCACACCCCGAAACCGGAACGGCGGAAAUGUUCGGGGGCGGUGGACGUCAUGUUUAGUAUCACAAGGCAUGCAUCAUAGUAAUCGAAGUAAUAAACAACCAUUUCAUUAGAAAGAAGUGGUUACAAAAUAUGUGGUUCACAUAACAUAGACUACAUAUGUAAAUAACAAAAUAAGACAUAAAGCUAUUAUGCUCCAUCUUCCGAAUCCCAGUGCGCGUACCUGUCUACUGGUCUCCUGAGAAUACAAGUUAUUUUGAAAGAGUAGAUCAACAUUUAAGCUGGUGAGUUCAUAAGAUUUUAGUGAUGUAAUAAGUUGUAAGUUCUUUUUAGAAAAGUUCGCCUGUUCCUCAAGAAAAUCCUAUAUUUCCUACUUUGAUGAAAGAUAAGUAAAAAUGACUCUACAAUCCUUUCUAUGAGUACUAAAUGAAUACAAGUUAUAUAAAACCCAGAGUAAACAAACAAUCGAUUGUGUGUAUCUGCCUUAAGCCCACAACUAAAUAAGGAACAGGGAAUGAGGCGGAAGGCACACAUCCCAUUGUUUGUUAGAUCAUCGUUGUAGAUAACCUUGGUGUAUUCACUUGGUACUCACGGAGAUAACUGCAACAGUUCCUUUAUAUUUGAUGGAAACAUUCUUUAAGAAAACCCUUAUUUCUUUUAGUAAAAAUGGUAACCAUAAUGGUUCCUUCUAUAAUCAUUUAGUUUAUACCAGCUAUAUAAAAUCUAAUUUCGAAUAGAUAGUUAGUUAUGUGAAUCUGCCCUAAGCCCACAACCAAACAAGGAACAGGAAGUAAGGUGGAAAACACACAUUCAACUACCUAUCGGGUAAUAAUUAUAUAUAACCCUGAUGUAUAAACUAAGGUAUUAUAGAAUUAACCACCUAAGGUCCUUUAAGUUAUACUAGUUUAAUAAAAUGGGUUAAACCCAUUUCUGGUAAGCUUCUAGUUUUGUCUACCAAAUGUUCUAAUUGAAAAGUAUGUUUUGUACUAGAAAACGGUGUAUUGAAUUUGUCACACCCCCAAACCAAGGAUGGCGGAAACGUCCGGGGGUGGAGGACUUCAUGUACAGUAUCACAACAACGUGUAUAAUAGUGCUCAAAGUAAAUACAACCAUCAUAAAUAUAAUUGAAAAAGUUACACCAAAGUAUAUGUUUACAUGUUUCAAAAUCAAUUACAUUAUGAUGACAAAAAUAAAUUGUUGACGGUUUAACGUCCCAUCCUCAAAGCGCUGAAGUUUUCCUGUUUCACUGAUUUCCUGAGAAUACAAGUAGUUUUGAAAGAGUGUCAACAAUUAAGUUGGUGAGUUCAUAAGAGUUUUGUUUGAAGUAGAAACCGUUUUCCUUGUAAAAUCGAUAGAGUUUGAUUUCCAGAAAAUCCAAUAUUUUCUUAGUUAAGUGUGAACAGAAUAUUCCUAUAUGAUGUGUUAAUGAACCCUAGAAUGACCCGUAGAUUUCCCCUAUAAUCGUCCAGCGUAUAUAAGUUAUAUAAGAUUUAAGUUAGAUAAAACGUUGAAUAUAGUGGGUCUGCCCUAGGUCCACAACCCAACGAGGAACAGGAGAUGAGGCGGGCACCACCAAUUCUAAGCCAAUCCAGACUAAAUUCUUGUAUGACUCAAGCAUAUACGCUCAACGAUUAUAGUUGAAGUCUAACAAUGCGAAAAUUUAAUGUGGACUUAAAUCCAAAAACCGGAACCAAACCCUAGUGUAGUGUAUGAAAUAGUAAUAGUGACUGUGAACAUAAACUAUACAUAUCAUAGUUCAUCGGAUAGUGAUAGUGACUAGUGAACAUGAACUAUGCAUAUUAUAGUUUACCAAAAGUGGUGGUGAUGGUGAAUAUAACCUAUACAUAUCAUAGUUCAUCGGAUAGUAAUAGUGAUUAGUGAACAUGAACUAUGCAUAUUAUAGCUUAUCAAAAGUGGUGGUGAUGGUGAAUAUAACCUAUACAUAUCAUAGUUCAUCGGAGAGUAAUAGUGAUUAGUGAACAUGAACUAUGCAUAUUAUAGCUUAUCAAAAGUGGUGGUGAUGGUGAAUUCCUUUCUUGUAAUUAAGUUCAUAGGGUAGAUGAAACAUAAACUAUACCUAUUAUAGUUUAUCACUUUGUUUGUAAUAUAUAUAUGCCAUAACUAUACCGAUUAUAACUAGCGUGUUCGUUUGUGGGGGUAUAAUGGCUUAUCUAUACUUAUUAUAGUUUAUCAUAAUUAUCCAUAGUGGUAAUAACUCUUUUGUAUGUGUAAAACCUUUAAUAAUGAGUUUGUCAUGUAAAACAACCCUAAACUAUACCUAUUAUAGUUUAUUAAUUAUUUGCGUAGGUAGUGAGCAUAAGCCUUACUUGUCAUAAUUUACCAUUGUUUAUUAUUUUAAUGGAUAUAGCCUUGUAAUAUCAUUUAUAUAUUUACCAUACUUGUGGAGGUGUAAAUCCAUUUGUUUUCUGAUGUAUGUCUAUAUAAGAAUACAAAAUUGUCAUAUAUUGCAACUACACAUAAUCACAUAAUGAUGUAUACCUUGCUCAACAUGUUACAAGGUGAAAUGAAAUUUAUAGUGUUUUUCUGUUAAUAACAUUUUCUGUAACUGUUAUUGGAAAAAUUGUAGAAAAAUCAUAAAAUGUCCAAAUCAAGUUCUGUAACUUCUGAGAGGUUGGAAAAUGAGUCUAGUUUGUUCAUAAUUUUUAUUAUAAUUUUUAAUGACUUCUUACUUGUGUGAAAAAGUCCAUAAUCACAGACUGGUCCAGAUUGAUGUUUGAAAUGAUAGGCAGUUUUGUAAAAAUCACCAUAAAUUGUAGAAAAAUCGUAUGGAGAUGUGCAAGUAGUCAUUUUAAAGCUAAGAAGUGGAACUACAUGCACCUAAAACAGUUUUGAAAACUAAAAUGUUUAAGAUGUCCAAAACAGUCCGUGAAUGGAGUUGAACUUUUCUGAUGAAGGCUGUUAGAAAAGUUUAGUUAUGUUCUUGGUGUAUUAACUUGUAUUCCCCCCCUAAAAACUUGAGAAAACAUGAAAAUGUAGGGGUAUGAACUCACCUUAAGUGAUUUCAGUAGGUAAGUGUUGAAGAAGAGAAGUGUUCAACCCAAGAACACUUGAAGAAUCACUUGAAGAUUCGAAGAUCUAACACAAUUAUAAUGGAGUUUGUGUAAGAUAUCCAUGAUUUGAGUGGAAAUAAUUGAGAUAAUCAUAAAGAGAAUGGAUUAUUCUUACCAAAUGUGGAGGAAAAUCCCAAGAUCAGCCCUCAAAUCUCGAGUUCUAGAGAGGGAAAAUGAGAGAGAAAAGAGUUUGCUCUUUUUGGUGAAAAGAGAGAAAAUGAGAGAAAUGAGGAGAGAGGAUGAAUAUUCAGCUCUCAAAAACGUGGGAAGGAGUGAUGAUUGAGUGGAAAGGACAUUGAUGUGACCUAGGUAAGGUGGGGAGGUGUGGCUGGUCAUAGAGUGGGUGUGGGAGUGGUUGCUUGUGUCAUAAAGUAAAGCAAAGUCAACACUCCACCUCUUUGUACUUUACCCACUUGCUUUUAUUAUUUAAAUAAAGAUUUUUAUGAAAAUAUGAUUAAAUUGUGAAUAUUUAGGGUUUAUUAUGUUAAAAUAUGAUUUUGGGUGAAAACCCCGCGUUAAAAUAAUUAAAAACGGGCCUUAAACGUAAAACUAUGCGAAAACCGGGAGAAAUUGAGCUUCCAGCGAGACCUCUCGGUCCUAGGCCGAGGUUCGGUCCCUAGGCCGAGGUUCGGUCCAUGCUGAUGCUGAGUCGGAAACGAAAGGCGCGAGCUAGAAGCGAGAGGCGAAGGGCGAGGGUCCGUCCGAAGGCUCGGUCCGAAGUCAGAAGCGAAGGUCAGCAGGGAAGCUUCGGUUCGGAGAUAAGAGGCGAGAAUGUCAGAACCGAACGGACUGUAGUGAACAGUAGUGAACAGUACCUUCGGUUCGGUUAGUGAACAGUACCUUCGGUUCGGAUCAGCAGCCUUCUUCAUCAGGAGGGUUCGGUUCCUAAGAGGGGUUUCGGUUCCUAAGAGGGGUUUCGGUUCCUAAGAGGGGUUUCGGUUCCUUAAGUCCGUUUUUCGCGUAGACUUCCGUUUUUGGGCUGUUUUCGCCAAAUUCGAGGGUCGGGAUGCCCCGAGUGAUUAUAGAAAGUUGGGAGAGAUUUCGAGAGAGAUUUGAGAGAGAUUCCACAUACUUAGAGAGAUUUGGGAGAGAUUUGACAUUCUUGGAGAGAUUUCACAUACAAAGAGAUAUUUGGGAGAGAUUUCACAUACUUAGAGAGAUUUGGGAGAGAUUUGACAUACUUGGAGAGAUUUCUCAUACAAAGAGAUAUUUGGGAGAGAUUUCACAUACUUAGAGAGAUUUGGGAGAGAUUUGACAUUCUUGGAGAGAUUUCACAUACAAAGAGAUAUUUGGGAGAGAUUUCACAUACUUAAAGAGAUUUGGGAGAGAUUUGACAUACUUGGAGAGAUUUCACAUACAGAGAGAUAUUUAGGAGAGAUUUCACAUACUUGGAGAGAUUUCUCAUACAAAGAGAGAUUUGGGAGAGAUUUCACAUACUUAGAGAGAUUUGGGAGAGAUUUCUCAUAGAGAGAGAUAAAGUGAAAACGAUUGAGAGAGGUUUCAUUGGUGACCUUUUUGAGUGUUCGGCUUCGCAAUGCAGGGUCCGUAAUCCCCGUUAAGCCUUGUUUAAGGAUCUUGCAUACUCCCGAUGAGUAUGCAACAUUGUUUUAUCGGUUUGGCUCGCCACGUACCACAGUUUUAGGUUAAGGAGAUCUAGAUGUACGCACUUUUCAAUUUAUGAUUUCUCAAUAGAAUAGAAAGUUGUUUAGAAAUUACAUAACGUAAACUCUAAUGCUCAUGGCAAAUUGAGUUGACCAGUUUGACUUGUUGACUUUGACUUGACCGAAAAUUGACGGUUGUCACAGAAUUUGUAUACUAUGACCUGGCCCAUACCUGGUACUCCCUAUGAUUACUUAGUGUAUAUGGAAUAUAUACAUAGCUAAGAUCGGAUAGAUAGUAGACUGGGUGCAUCUGCUCUAGGCCCACAACCAAACAAGGAACAGGAAGUAAGGCGGAAAGCACACAUCCAACUACCUAUCGGGUAUUAAUUAUAUAUAACCCUGAUGUAUAAACUAAGAAAUCAUAAAGUUAGCAUUAUAGGCCCUUUUCUACUGAAUGUACUAUGACUCUACUGUUUUGUUUGUCCCUUGUAAGUUUUCCCUAGUUUAUAACUAUCUUAACUCGAAAAAUAGUUUGCAUUAACUUUCAAGUGGAACUGUCACAACAUGAAAGUAAUGGGAAAAAUGUAAGUAUACAGUUGUCUUUUAUAUUGACAAACUGAAGUACUGAUUACCUUAAAACCAGAUUGUUUUAUUAAGGUCAUAAUGUGAUGUGGUUGUACCCAUACUAUACUCUCUCCCUGCAAGAGAUUCUGGUUACAAAACGUGACUUCAGCAAACAAAUUGCUAAGCCGUGAAGUAGACUCACAUUAAAGUUAUCUUGUUCUUGUAUACCACAUUUAUUAUCACCUUUUGUUUAGAGCAAUGAGUUAGUGAUCAUUGGUAUAAUUUUGUUAAUCAUGAUAUGUUCUUCUGUUAUAGUAUAUAGUAUGUUCUUUCUGUUAUCAGGUAUUGUAUCUUCCUCCUUGUAUCUCGUUAUAGUAUGUUCUCUAUGUUAUCGUGCAUUAUAUCUACCUCCCUGUUUCUCUUUAUAGUAUGUUCUCUAUGUUCUAGUGUGAAUUGAACCCCUAAACUAUACCUAUUAUAGUUUACUAGUAUGUUUACUUGAACUAAUACUGACUUGAAGAAAAGACUCAUUUUAUCUACUAAGUUAUGAUUAUACUUUAAAAAUGGAGUUUUGUAAACUAUAAAGUAACAUAACUUUAAAAGAGUUUUUGAAAUAUUUUGAUCACUUAUAAAUACAUAAGCAAUCCUUUAAAAGAUGUUUAUAACAAAACAUUUACACAAUUAACAUUGUAUUCAACUUGUAUUCCCUUNNNNNNNNNNNNNNNNNNNNNNNNNNNNNNNNNNNNNNNNNNNNNNNNNNNNNNNNNNNNNNNNNGGGAUUGACAACCCCGCACCUAAACUGUUAGCUACAAUUAGACCGGCAGGUCUGGGGUGACAAGAGUCAUAACACUACAACACUUGAAGAAUGUUGUUACAGGCAGUCGGUGUCAAUAGUAUGGUUAUAAGACUCACACGAAAGUAUAAAAACAAGCUUGAUUUACGAGAUUCAUACAUGCAUACAGUAUUUACAUUAUUUUAAGUACAAACUUAUCUUUAUCAUUUAAUUACGAAAGAUACUAACGCCCUCCAACUUUGGGAACUUUUCAAACUAUAUAUGGAAAAUAUUGGAUUUUCUGAAAACCACGUUCAUCGAUUUUCUUCCAUAAAGACAUUAUUUUCAAUACAAAACACCUAUGAACUCACCAACUUUAUUGUUGACACUUUUUCGAAACCACUUGUAUUUCUCAGGGAAUUAGUAAUACAGGUAACUACCAGCUUUUGAAGAAGGAAUGCUAAGGGAGUUUAUUAUUAAACAUUUUACCUCAUCAUAUUGUAAUAUUCUUUUGGAAUCAUGUAUAACGCAACAAUGUACGUUUUUAUUAUAUAUAUGAUGGUUGUGUUACUUUCUUUACAAUAUUCAAUUGUUAUGGUACUACGUGAAGUCAUCCACCCCCGAAUGUUUCCGCCAUUCUGGUUUGGGGGUGUGACAGAUUGGUAUCAGAGCAUUGUUUAUAGUGAACUAAGUAUAUCGAACCACAUAAGAUAUACAAACUAUAAAUGCAAAGGGGACCAAAAACCCUCUGACGAAACGUUUUCAUNAUAACAAAGUUUUCUAAAAAGUAUUAAGGCAAGUUGUGACACUACGAUUGGGCCUCGAGGUAUGUAAUCAAAUCGAGAAUAACUAUAGCCUGAUCAACUAUAUUUAUCCUGUAUUUGACCAACGUACGUCGAGGAAUGGUCGUAGUGGACAACAAGUCAAAAACUUACCAAAUAAAAUUUUUAGACUCGCAAAUUUGAAAUACUAUAGGAGUAUUGUUAUAGGAUAAUAGGACAAUGAAAAACCUGCACACAUUAAGAUAUAGUUAAACUUAGGAUGCCGUUAAAUAGAAAUUUCUUUUCUUAUAAAAUUCUCAUACCUCUAUCCUAGUACAGAAAAAUGGCCGGAUUCCAUUUACCGGGAGAUCCCUACUACCCAAACCAAGGCAACGGCAGAUGGAUAGAAGAAGACCCGGAGGAAAUCGAAGAGGAAGUCGAAGAAGAAUUCGAAGUUGAAGUCGGAGAGGAAUUCGAAGUCGACGAGGAGGUCGAGGAUGAAGAAGAAGCUACCGAUGGAACAGACUUCGAGCCGGAAGUAAUCAACCCUCCCGCUCCCCGUCCUCCCGAAGUCAGAAUAGGUUACCAAGGUCCCAUCCCCAUUUGGGGAAGUCAUCUUUACCAUUGGAGCCGUCAACUAGGUGUACGCCCUCUUUUUGGCUUGUGUCGAGACUUUUACAAUGUCAGUGGGGGAGGCUCAGCUGAUCGAGCACUUCCCGUUAUUAUAGGCACAAUAGCCACCCAGAACUACCAGUCAGACAUGCAAGUGGCCAAAAUCCGUGAGGUCAAUGCUGCUACACAAGGUAACGCCGCAGACAUUCGUCGCCUGGACGGACUACACGAAAGUACCCAACUCCACACAGGGACGCUUCAGAACCAAAUGACGACAGCACUGGCAGAAAUAAGAGAGAUGAAGGAACGACAAGCAGUUCUUGAAAGGCGCCUAAUGGGAGUCAAGCAGUCGGAUGCUGAGUCUAGCUCCAAACGCACAACACACCGCAAGUAGAACUUGCUCAACUUCAACAAUUUUGAUAUAGAAUAGGACCUCGGAUAAAGUUUUUCUCUUAUUUCCUUGUACUUGUAAUCGGAGACCUCUAGAUAGGUCAAAUUUUCCUAAACACGAAGCAUAAUGUAACGCACCGUAUGUGUGACAUAUAUAUGAAUAUGAAGUACUUCUUUACAUACCUCUCGAAACUUAUGGGAUUAACUAAAUUGUUAUACCUACUUUAAAACCAUAAACUAAAGUCAAAACAAAUUACAAGAUACAACUAACCCUCUAGUACACGAUUGUCAAAUCAUUAGAAACUUAUAGUGUUCAUUAUUAUUUAUCUACCAGAACAUGCCUCCUUGUAGAUCAGCAUGCAGAAACUCAGCUCCAACACCACCUCCACCACCCUCUCCAACUAUGGAUGCAGCUAUGUUCCAAACUGCUGUAACAACUGCUGUGACCGCAACGAUGGCUCAAAUGAGUAACAACGGGUCAGGAGGAGGAAUAAACAGCUUUACAAAUGGCCAAAGCCAAGUCCAUUCCGGAGUAUGUACUUAUAAAGACUUCACUAACGGAAAACCUAUUCCCUUUUAUGGGACUGGGGGAGUGAUGGCUCUAUACCAAUGGAUAGAGAAAACGGAAGCUAUAUUCGAAAUUUGCACAUGCCCUGAAGAGAGCAAAGUAAAAUUUGUCGCUUUUACUUUCUCCGAACGAGCCCUGACAUGGUGGAACGGCCACGUCAAGGCACUAACCCUAGUGGUGGCGAACUUCAUGGGUUAGGAAAACCUGAAACGAAUGCUCCUACGAGAGUACUGCCCAAGAGGCGAGAUUCAGAAGCUCGAACAAGAACUGUGGGGCCUUACGAUGGUAGGCUCGGACAUCGCAGGCUAUACCAACAGAUUCAGUGACUUGAUAAUACUUUGCCCAGGGAUGUUGAUCCUGGAAAGCCAAAAGGUGGAGAGGUACAUCUGGGGACUAUCACCCCAACUUCGAGGGAGUGUGUUAGCCUCCAAAUCCAUGACAUUCGACAACGCCAAGGAACUGGCGCAAUCUCUCAUUGAUCAUGGUGUCUGUCAAGGAGUCACGGCUAUCGUCGCUGAACCAACCAAAGGGAACAACAACAACGAUAACAAUGCCAACAACAACAGCAAGAAGAAAUUCUGGAUCAAGAGAAAGGGGCAAACUUCGCAAGAACCUUCAAAGAAACAAAUGGUGGCGGUUCAUGCCGCUACUGCUCCCUCACAACUCCUGCUACCCCUGUGCCAACAAAACAAUAUGCUGGGAACCUGCCAAAGUGCAUCAAAUGCAACUACCAUCACCACGGUAAUUGCUGCGAGAUGCACUGUAAAAACUGCGACAGGAAAGGGCACACUGCCCGUUUCUGUAAGGCACCGGCGCGACCAAUCACUCAAGUUCCUGGUACUGGGAUAAGCCAGGCAUGUUAUGCGUGUGGAGAAACUGGGCACUUCAAGAGGGAUUGCCCCAAGGCAAAGAAUGUUGGCGGUGUUGGGAGAGUGCUGGCGAUAGGUCAAAAUGAAGCAAUAGUUGAUUCCACGAUGGUUACGGGUACGUUUCUCCUCGGCAACAUUUAUGCAUGCAUACUCUUUGACUGCGGUGCGGAGAGAAGUUAUGUGAGUCAUAAAUUCAAACACCUACUUAAUCAAAAACCCCAACCACUCAAUAAAAUAUUCACUGUGGAAAUGGAAAACGGUAAAACGGAAAGCGCAAGCGAUAUGUAUGUAGGGUUCACAUUAAACUUAAACGAACACUUAUUUCAAAUCGAUCUUAUGCCCAUUUCGAUAAGAAGUUUUGAUGUCAUCACCGGUAUGGACUGGUUAAGCCUUCACCAUGCCGAUAUACUUUGUCACGAAAGGGCCGUUCGCCUCAAUAUGCCAAACGGCGAAAUUCUUGUCAUUUAUGGUGACAAACCUAGUACAAAUUUACAAAUCAUCUCCUAUGUUAAAGCACGAAAAUAUCUUCGCAAGGAAUAGCAUGCCUUUCUAGCUCACGUAGUAGACCAGAAAUAAGAACCGAAGAACAUUAAAGACAUUCCGGAAGUCUGCAACUUCCCAGACAUCUUCCCAGAAGAUCUUCCAGGAAUCCCACCAGAACGCCAAGUCGAGUUCAGAAUCGACUUAAUCCCCGGAGCUACUCCAGUAGCAAAGUCGCCUUACCGUCUAGCCCCAGCCGAGAUGCAGGAACUGUCCAGUCAAUUAAACGAAUUGCUGAGCAAGGGCUUCAUCAGGCCAAGCUUCUCACCAUGGGGAGCACCGGUCCUAUUCGUGAAGAAGAAGGACGGAUCUUUCCGCAUGUGCAUCGAUUACAGGGAGCUGAACAAACUCACGAUCAAGAACCGAUAUCCCCUACCGCGCAUAGACGAUCUGUUCGACCAACUAUAGGGAGCAAGCUACUUCUCAAAGAUCGAUCUAAGAUCUGGUUAUCACCAACUACAAGUGCUGGAAGGAGACAUCCCCAAAACGACAUUCCGAACACGCUAUGGUCACUACAAGUUUGUAGUGAUGCCCUUUGGAUUGACAAAUGCACCAACAGUGUUCAUGGACUUGAUGAACCGGGUAUGUCGUCCCUUCCUGGAUAAAUUCGUGAUCGUGUUCAUAGAUGAUAUACUCAUCUAUUCAAGAAGCAAGGAAGAACACAGCCAACACCUCUGCCAAGUCUUGGAAACAUUGAGAGCAGAAUAGCUAUACGCAAACUUUUCAAAGUGUGAGUUUUGGAUUCGGGAAGUGGAUUUCCUAGGUCACGUAGUAAGCAAAGAGGGGAUACACGUGGAUCCUUCUAAGAUCAAGGCAAUAGAGAAUUGGACGACUCCGAGAACCCCAAUAGAAAUCCGACAGUUUUUGGGACUCGCCGGGUAUUAUCGAAGGUUUAUACAAAACUUUUCAAAGAUUGCUAAGCCACUUACCACCCUAACUCAGAAGAGCGUGACCUUCGACUAGGGAGAAAAACAAGACAUCGCGUUUCAAACACUAAAGCAAGCCUUAUGUAGUGCACCCAUUCUAACCUUACCAGAAGGAACAGAGGACUUCGUGGUCUAGUGUGACGCGUCAAACCAAGGACUUGGGUGUGUCCUGAUGCAACGAGGGAAGGUCAUCGCCUACGCCUCAAGACAACUAAAGACGCACGGACUAAACUACACAACGCACGAUCUCGAGCUAGGAGCAGUCAUUUUCGCUCUAAAGAUAUGGAGGCACUAUCUCUACGACACAAAAUGUACAAUCUUCACCGAUCAUAAAAGCCUCCAGCAUAUCCUCAGCCAGAAAGAACUCAACAUGAGACAAAGACGGUGGGUAGAACUACUAAAUGAUUACGAAUGCGAAAUUCGAUAUCAUCCCGGAAAGGCUAACAUGGUGGCCGACGCACUCAGCCGGAAGGAAUACUCGGGCCGCAGAGUGAUGUCUCUAACCAUGACAAUCCACUCACACCUAUCCAUGCAAAUCAAGGAAUCCCAAAUAAAAGCCUUAAAAUCUGAAAAUGUGGCAGGGGGAGCCUUAAGGGGUGGAUAAGAANGAGCGAUCGAGUUCUUUAUUUCAUGGAUCGAAUCUGGACACUGAAGUUUGGUGGAUUCAGAGAAAUCGUCAUGGACGAAGCCCAUAAGACACGAUACUCCAUACAUCCCGGUUUCGAUAAGAUGUAUUUGGACCUCAAGAAGUUGUACUGGUAGCCGAACAUGAAAGUCGAAAUUGCUACCUACGUGAGCAAAUGCCUGCCGUGCGCCAAAGUCAAGGUGGAAUACCAAAAGCCCUCGGGAUUUUUGCAACAACCAGAAAUACCCGAAUGGAAGUGGGAGCGGAUAACCAUGGAUUUCAUAACCAAAUUACCCAAGACGGCAAGCGGACACGGCACCAUCUGGGUGAUCGUCGACAGAUUAACUAAAUUAGCGUAUUUCCUACCAACCAAAGAAACGGAUAAAUUGGAGAAAUUAACUAGAACAUACCUCAGAGAGAUUGUACGACUGCAUGGUGUGCCCAUAUCCAUCAUCUCGGACCGAGAUAGUAGAUUCACCUCAAGGUUCUGGCAGUCGCUACAAAAAUCUCUAGGAACAAGACUGGACAUGAGCACUGCUUAUCACCCACAAACUGACGGCCAAAGUGAGAGAACCAUACAAACCCUAGAGGAUAUGUUGAGAUCUUGCGUAAUCGAUUUUGGUAAAGCAUGGGACACCCAUCUACCCUUGGUCGAGUUCUCGUACAACAAUAGCUACCACACUAGCAUAAAGGAUGCCCCGUUCGAAGCCCUCUACGGCCGUAAAUGCGGAUCACCUCUGUGCUGGGCUGAAGUGGGGGACACACAAAUAGCAAAAGGACAAGCAAUAGACAACAUGCUCAUUGGGCCAAAAAUCAUAAGGGAAACUAUGGAGAAGAUUGUUCAGAUCCGGGAACGACUGAAAGCAUCAAGGGACAGACAAAAGAGUUACGCAGAUAAAAGACGGAAACCCUUGGAAUUCCAGGUUGGAGACCGUGUCCUACUAAAAGUCUCGCCCUGGAAAGGAUCAAUACGUUUCGGAAAGCGUGGGAAACUGAACCCAAGAUACAUUGGACCAUUCGAGAUCCUUGUUAGGAUCGGUCUGGUGGCCUACAAACUUCGAUUACCUCAGGAACUCCACAACGUACACCCUACCUUUCACAUAUCAAACCUAAAGAAGUGUUUGUCCGACGAGACCCAUGUCAUUCCUCUAGACGAAAUUGCAAUAAAUGAGAAUCUCCAAUUCGUAGAAGAACCGGUAGAGAUCAUGGAUCGGGAAAUUAAAAGGACUAAGCAAAGCCACAUACCUAUUGUAAAGGUCCGCUGGAAAGCCAAGCGAGGACCUAAAUACACCUGGGAACGCGAGGAUCAGAUGAAACAAAAGUACCCGUAUCUCUUCCCUAACCUGUGAACUCAGUCUUAGAUUAAAUUUCGGGACGAAAUUCCCCCAACGGGGGGAUGAUGUGACAACCCUAUAUUUUUCCAAAAGCAAUGUAACACUCAAAAGUCAAAUACGACGAAAACUAUUUGUAAUCAACGAAAUUAACCUCAAAAAUAAAGUGUUCAAAUAUCUAAAGUGGGAUGCAUCAGAUGUUAGAUAUCGUGCCAAGGUUUCCAAAAACAUAAAGAACACUCGAAACCGGGUUAUAUUGAAGAAACUAUAACCACUCAAAUAAUUAUGACACACCCGGUAAAACACUAUUUAACGUAAAAAGUGAAAUUCCAAUUAAAUGCAUUUUAGCCUUAAGUAUCUAAACAAACGUUGUAGAGUUAGUUAAACUGUAAACGUACAUAAAAAGAUCACCCAAAUUAGACCUCGUAUGAAGAAGUUACGAAUUUUUUAAGUUUCGUAACAGUAGUAGAUAGCUAAAAACUCGAAAUGAAGAUCGAUCGAUAUUUAGCCAACGCAACCUAAACGAGAGUUGAAGGUCUCCACAAUAGGAGUAAAAUGAUAAAAAGAAAAACGAAAAUCGACGUCGGAUAAAGAAACUAUGAAUUUUUAACGGACUUUAGCAGUCCCUGCCUAUUAAAAACAUAGCAUUAAAAAUAAAUUCAAAACUAGCCGACGGAGUCUAAAUGAAAAUUGUAGAGCAUAAUCUCACCUACGCGUGGAUAUAAAGAACGCGAAAAACGGAGCCCGUACGCGAAAAUUACAAAAUUUAGAAGAUGGAAGCCAGAAUUACGCCCAGCGUAAUUCAGGAGUAUGCCCAGCGUACUCAGGUGCAGGGUCGAGUCCCAUCGGCUGCAACUCUAUGCCUAGCUAUACUCGAGUCGUAAUCCAUGACGCAAACUUACGCCCAGCGUAACCGAAGUACGCCCAACGUACUCCGGUGGUACGCCCAGCGUACUCACAUUUUCAGCCCUAUAAAUAGAAGGCAUAAGCUCUGGGUUUUAGCACACAUUUCCCAAAUUCACACUUACUCUCACACACUUGCAAGCACCAGAGGCCAUCCCGACACCCUCGAUUUCCGCACCCGAGCCCCCGACGAAGGUUCUACGCUACCGAGAUCCCGAGAAGCUCGAAGAUGCAGCUUUCCGCGGUUGAAGUUCUACUCGACUCUAGUCCCACUCUCUUCAAACCGAACAAGUGAGUUCAUACCCCUACUUUUCAAGUCUUUUCAUGUUUUAGGGGGGAAUACAAGUUUAAUACAAGAAAACGUAUCGUUUUAUAAACUUAAAUGCAACAACUAUCCUUACGUAUAAAGUUUAGCAUAUCACCAAGUUAUUUUCACCAAAUGGAACAUACUUUCGGAAAAACUAUAAUGGGUAUAGUUAGCAAGUUAUUCAUACAUUCUUACGUAUACAUCUUGAAAAACGAAAUACUUUCAACUAAAAUGAAAUAAAGUCUUUCUUAUCGUAAAUCUAUUUAUACUAAGUGAUGUGAGACAUUCAAACUUCAACAUACUCUUAUGUAUGCAUUUCAAGUCCUGUAUUAUAAGCCAUAAUCUCUUGGAGGGAGAGCGUGAUACUUGUAUAUAGAUCUAUACGGGAUUGACAACCCCGCACCUAAACUGUUAGCUACAGUUAGACCGGCAGGUCUGGGGUGACAAGAUUCAUAACACUACAACACCUGAAGAAUGUUGUUACAGGCAGUCGGUGUCAAUAGUAUGGUUAUAAGACUCACACGAAAGUAUAAAAACAAGCUUGAUUUACGAGAUUCAUACAUGCAUACAAUAUUUACAUUAUUUUGAGUACAAACUUAUCUUUAUCAUUCAAUUACGAAAGAUACUAACGCCCUCCAACUUUGGGAACUUUUCAAAUUAUAUAUGGAAAAUAUUGGAUUUUCUGAAAACCACGUUCAUCGAUUUUCUUCCAUAAAGACAUUCUUUUCAAUACAAAAUACUUAUGAACUCACCAACUUUAUUGUUAACACUUUUUCGAAACCACUUGUAUUUCUCAGGGAAUCAAUAAUACAGGUAACUACCAGCUUUUGAAGAAGGAACGCUAAGGGCGUUUAUUAUUAAACAUUUUACCUCAUCAUAUUGUAAUAUUCUUUUGGAAUCAUGUAUAACGCAACAAUGUACGUUUUUAUUAUAUAUAUGAUGCUUGUGUUAUUUUCUUUAUAAUAUUCAAUUGUUAUGGUACUACAUGAAGUCAUCCACCCCCGAAUGUUUCCGCUAUUCUGGUUUGGGGGUGUGACACAUUCAUUUUUCCUUUCACCACAUUCAUUUGAAACUUCCAUGACUUUUCACUUUCUUUCUAAUAAUGAUUAUAACUUGGUUAAUAAGGUUAAAUAAAUAUGAAAACUAAAGUGUAAUCAUAUAUAAACCAAAUUUCAUUAUUAAAAAAUAUAUUUACUUCUACAUAUAUAGUAAUGUUUUUUUAACUUUUAAGAUACUAUACUUAAUUUAUUAAUUUUAAUAUAUUGUUAGAUGUAAACCAUUAUCAUUUUAAAGCAAUAACUUUUGAACAAUUUGUAUAAAAUACUUAAAUUAUUAAUUUAAAUAUAAUAUUACAAGGUUAACUUAAAUAUAAAUUUUAGUUUAACUUAAACAACCCAAAUAAUAUUUUCUAAAUAGUUAAAAGUGAUAAAUUGUAGAGUCUUUCUAAUAAUGAUUAUAAUUUGGUUAAUAAGGUUAAAUAAAUAUUAAACCUAAAGUGUAACCAUUAAUAAACUAAAUUUUAAUAUUAAAAUAAUAUAUUUACUUCUACUUAUAAAGUUUUGAAUUUAACUUUUAACAUAUUAUUCCUAAUUUAUUAAAUUUAAUAUGUUGUUGUAUGUAAACCAUUAUCAGUUUAAAGCUACAACUUUUGAACAAUUUUGACAAAAUACUUAAAUUGUUAAUUUAAAUAUAACAUUACAGUGCCAACUUAAAUAUAAAUUUCAGUUCCACUUAAAAAGCUCACUAAAUAUUUUGUAAAUAGUUAAAAAUGAUAAAUUGUAGUACUAAUGCAAAAAGUAAAUUGUAAUAUCAUUUUAACUAAAAUAUUUCCUAAAAAUAUUUUUAUAAUCGUUAAAAGUUUUCAAAUAAGUAGCUUAAAAUAACUUAGAAUAACAAUAGUUAAAAAAACUGUAUAUAAAUAAUUAUAUUGUUACCUUUAAAAUCAAAAAACAAUGUUUGAUGUUUUAAAUAAUUAUAAUGAUAGAAAUUAAAACAUUAAACAAAUAAAAUUUAAAAUUAACAAUAACAACAACUUGCAAAGCGGAAUAGAAAAGCACGGACGAGCCACAUGCAGGGAAGCCAUUACUUGACCAAGAACGUGAGAGGAUUGAACACACGUGAGAGGAUUGAACACACCUUCCCUAAAUAACAUUAAACAAUAUAUUAUAUUUAAUUUUAUUCAUUAAUAACUCGCAGGUAGAAAUCAUUCAUACGAUUGAGAUUAUGCAAUUAUAAUAAAUGUAUAUAUUAUCAUAUAAUUCAAAAUAAUCAAUAUAUUAUAUCAAUUUAGUAUACGAAUUAUUAUAUCAAAUGUAAAAACAACGUUAUUGUUACACCAUAUUCAUUUGAAACUCUUAUAUAUUUUUCCUUUCACCACAUUCAUUUGAAACUCCCAUGACUUUUCAAUUUCUUUCUCAUAAUAAUUAUAAGUUUGUUAAUAAGAUUGAAUAAAUAUCAAACCUAAAGUGUAAUCAUAUAUAAACUAAAUUUCAAUAUCAAAAGAAUAUCUUUACUUGUACUUAUAACAUUAUGUUUUUUUAACUUUUAACAUAUUAUACUUAAUUUAUUAGUUUUAAUAUAUUGUUGGAUGUAAACCAUUUUCAUUUUAAAGCUGCAACUUUUGAACAAUUUGUAAAAAAAUACUUAAAAUUAUAAAUUUAAAUAUAACAUUACAGGAUCAACUUAGAUAUAAAUUUUAGUUUAACUUAAACAACCCAAAGAAUAUUUUGUAAAUAGUUAAAAGUGAUAAAUUGUAGAGUCUUUCUAAUAAUUAUUAUAAGUUAGUUAAUAAGAUUAAAUAAAUAUCAAACUUAAAGUGUAAUCAUAAAUAAACUAAAUUUCAAUAUUAAAGUAAUAUCUUUACUUAUACUUAUAAAGUUAUGUCUUUAACUUUAAACAUAUUAUACUUAAUUUAUUAUAUUUAAUAUGUUGUUGUAUGUAAACCAUAUCAGUUUAAAGCUAUAACAUUUGAACAGUUUGGACAAAAUACUUAAAUUGUUAAUUUAAAUAUAACAUUACAGUGUCAACUUAAAUAUAAAUUUCAGUCCACUUAAAAACCCAAUGCAUAUUUUGUGAAUAGUUAAAUGUGAUAAAUUGUAGUGCUAAAUGAAAAAAUGUGAUAAAUUGUAUUUAACUUUUAACAUAUUAUACUUAAUUUAUUAGAUUUAAUAUGUUGUUUUAUGCAAACCAUUAUCAUUUUAAAGCUACAACUUUUGAACAUUUUGGACAAAAUACUUAAAUCAUUAAUUUAAAUAUAACAUUACAGUGUCAAUUUAAAUAUAAUUUUCAGUUCCACUUAAAAAACACAAAGAAUAUUUCUAAAUUGUAAUCUCAAUUUAACUAAAAUAUUUCAUAAAGAUAUUUUUAUAAUCUUUAAAAGUUUUCAAAUAACUAGAUUAAAAUAACUUACAAUAACAAUAGGUAAAAAUAACUCUAUAUAAAUGAUUAUAUUGUUACCUUUUAAAAACAAAAACUAUAUUUGAUGUUUUAAAUAAUUACAAUGAUAGAAAUUAAAACAUUAAGCAAAUAAAUGUUAAAAAAAUAAUUAACAAUAACAACAACUAUAAAUAACAUUAAACCACAUAUUAUCUUUAAUUUUAUUGAUCAAUAACUCGCGGGUAGAGGUCAUUCAAACGAUUGAGAUUAUGCAUGUAUUUCAAAUUUUACAAUAACAUUAUUGUUAUAUUUAAGAAAACAUAUAUUUAGAAAUAUUUCAACUAUAUAGGUGUUUAUGCGCAACGUGCGGGUAUUCGCCUAGUACUAUAUUAUAAAGGAAACAUUUUUUCUUUCACCACAUUUAUUUGAAACUUCCAACUCUUCAUAUUUUCAUAUAAUAUACAUAAUUUAUUAACUUAAAUAUGUUUUUAGUUGUAAACAUUAUCAUAAAUGGAAGACUUCGUAAUUUAUUAAUAUGAUAUAUUUAAUUUGUUAACUUCAAUAUAUUGUUAAAUAAACAAUCUACAUUAAUAUAACAAAUAAGCUUAAAAAUUUAAUGUAAAAUUCAAAACAUAAAGUAAAAUAUCAAAUAAUGUUUAAAAAAAUUCAAUAUAUAGUUUUUUAACAUAGUUAAAAGGAAAAAGUUAUAUAUAAUAAAUAUCAAAGAACCUAAAUUUAUGAAUCGAAUUAACUAAAAGGUGUCUGAAAACUAUAUUUUUUAAUAACUAAAUUCAGUUCAGUUGUUUUUAAAUUAAUUUAAAAUAAUAAUAGUUAAAAAUGAUAGAAACUUAGAAAUUAAAUUAUGUUAGAUUAGAAACAAUUUUUGAUAAUUUAAAUAAUCAUCAUAAUGAAAUUAAAACAUCGCAAUUUUUUUUAAAAUUAAUAAAUCAUAAAAGUAGUAAAUUAAAAUAAUUGACAAAUAUAACUAAUGUUAUACUUAUACACAUGUAAAACAUGAGUAGAGACCAUUAAAUAAAUUGUUUUAAUAAGCGUUAUUUUAUCUAUUGUUCAAAUUAAUUAUAAUUUUAUAUAAACUAAAUAUAAUAAUUAUUAUAUUAUAGUUAAUAUAAAUGAUAUAAAUAUUAUCAAUAACAUAAGAUUACCAAAAGUUUGAAUUUUAUUCUGCGCAACGCACGUAUAUUCGUCUAGUAUAUUUAUAAAUGAAACAUUUUUUCUUUCACCACAACAAUUUGAAACACCAAACUUUUCAUAUUUUCCUAUAAUAUACUUUUUAACUUAAAUAUGUUAUUAAUUAUAAAUAUUAUCAUUAAUAGAAGACUUUUUAAUGUUAAAUGUGUAACCUAAAUUAAUAUAUCAAAAAAAACUUAAAAAUAUAGUGUAAAAAUUAAAACCUAAAGUAAAAUAUCAAAUAAAGUUUAAAAAAAUGCAAUGUAUAUUUUUUACAAGAGUAAAAAUAAAAUUAUUAAAUAUAAUAAACGUAAAAGAACAAGUAAAAUUAACUAAAAGAUCUCCAAAAACUAUUUUUUUUAUAUACUAACUGAAAUUCAAUUAAGUUUUUUUAAAAUUAAUUUAUAAUAAUAAUAGUUAAAAUAUCAUCAAGUUAUAAAUUAAAUUAUAUUACAUCACAAACAUUGACUGAUAAUUUAAAUAAUCAUCAUGAUGAAAUUAAAAUGUCGUUAAUUUUUCUUUUCUUUAGAGUUAAUAAAUCAUUACAUUAUUUAAUUAAAGUAGAUAAGAAAUAUAACUAAUUUUAUACACACGUAAGCAUGAGUAGAUACCAUUAAAUGAUUCAAUUUUAGUAAGUGUUAUUGAUGAGUUAUUAAUCAACUCUUUGAUCGAUUAGAUCUUUGUAACAGGUAUGCGAUGAACGUAAAAACAGUAAACAAAACACAAGUAUGAAUCAAGAUGUGUCGAAUGAUUAGAUUACUCGAUCCUCAGCAGAGCUCGACUAAGAACUUCCACUGUAGAGGAUUCUAGGGUUACAAAACAAGAACGAUAAAUUUGCUGAAUAAUAAAAUCUCUAAUCGUUAAUGAUCGUCCUUUUUUUUCUAGGAUGCAUGCAAGCAUCUAUUUAUACUAAACCCUACAAAACUCACGGAUGGACAAGCCCAUACCGGAGACACAUAUUGGACUAGCUAACAAGCCCAAUAGACGCAACACAAAAUACGACCCAACAAUAUCCCCCUUUGCGUCAAAUUGGAGUUAGACUACUUCUUCUUGCUUGGGCCAGCAGCAGGAACCUUCUUUACUGUAUCAAACAGACGUGUGAUAAGAGCAAGGAUAGUCUGUCUGAACCGAAUGUACCAUUGAAUCAUAUCAUCAAAGUACUUUACAUCAUCCGAUGUGUUCUGCUUGCAUCGAUGGAUGAUCCCUAAAACGUGUUCCAAACAUGCAGUGGUGUGUAGAGAUGUUUGUCUGCCAAGGCGAAAAGACAUUUCUGUCAUUCGUUCCUGGUAAACAUGACAGAGUUUCUCUUUGGGUCAAUCUUCCCAAUCUGCAUCAUGUUGAGAUCACUGGAAGAGCCAACAGGAGAUAUGGUAGGCUUCUUCUUGAAUACGCUCGCAAUCUCCUGAUCCAUCAGAGCAACUUCCAUGAUAUAACAUACAAGCAUCCUCUUAAAGUGGUCGAUGAUCGGACCAUAUUCAGCUUCGUUUGUAAGAAGGAUGUUGUGCAAGAUAAUCCAAUCAUGGGGAUUAAGGUUGGGAAGAUCUGCAAGUGAGAUGGCAUGUUCGGCUUUGGCAGAUCCCCUUAGUACCUUGAACCGAACGUUGGUGAAGUUGCCUUCCCUGUACGGCUUCAGGACCUGAACAUUGAUGAUUUUCUGAGCGCUCCAAGUUUGGUAUUGAGGUUGAGCUGCCCUCAGAUAAAAUUCAACUAAGUCCCGAUCAACCUGUGAAUGAGGAUGGGGGAACUCAGCAAUGUAGUCAAAGGCAUGAAAAACAAACGCCUUUCGGGUCAGUGGCAUGUCGAACUGAGAGUCGACAGUGUUAGAACAAUCUAAAGAGAUCACAGGUUCUAGCCACAAGAUACUUGGUGUUUCGAUGGCUUCUUUAAUCAGCCUCUCAAGAGUCCACGGAGGAAAAAGAGUUUUCCUGCUCUCGAGAAGAUUGUGGGCUUCUUUCUGUCUUCUUUCGGCUUCUUCAGCCUCUCUAGCCACACGAGUAUUGAUGUCAGCCUCUUUAUCUCGACCUUGACGCUUUAGGAGGUCGGCAAUUGUCUCUUUAUCAUCAUCGUCACUCUCCUCAGAAAUAUUUUUGCCUUUGUCUUUCACACCGGAAUCUGAGGCUUGGCCUACUGGAGGAGGUUCGGUUGUGUGAGUUGUUGUUGAUGUAGGAGGUGAUUGAAACACUUGUUCUUUUUCUCCCCCUUGUUUCGGAAUGGACACGAAAUCAAGGAGCCCCUCAAUUUUGCUGAGUAGAGAAAGGGCGGGAGCGAGCUUCUCUGCAAGGGUACGACGUACUGAAUAAUUGAUGAUUGGGUCAUGUGCUUCAAGGAUGUUGGAGAUAGCAGAGUGGACAUCCGAAACACACGAUUUAACCACCUCUCUUUCAGAUCGAAGAGAGUCAAUCUCCUGUUGACAGUUGGAGAGUUGAGUACUCUUGACCUUCAGAGCGGUAGUCUUCCUUGCGAGAGCAUCCAUGAGAGAGUUCUCGGCAGCUAAGUCUUCUUGAAGCUUGGAGAGACGCUCCUCAAUGGUGGUUCUGAAAGCUGAGUUGUCGUCAGAGAUGGUUUGACGAAGCGAAGCGAACGACUUCAGCUCAGAAGCGACUGAUGUAGCCAACUGGUUGAUAAUGGGUUCCAGCGUAGUCUUGGUGGCUUCAGCACUUUCCUGUAAAGAUUUCAACAAGAAAGAAGCAUCAGUGAAUAGUUUAUCGACUUUUUCGGUCGCUGCCUCACAAGCUUUGGUUGAGGCAUCUAUGGCUGCAGUGGCGGAAUCAAGGGAAACUUGAUGAGCUUUGGAAAAAGCCUCAACAAUUUUCUGAAUUGCAGCUUCAGAUAUGGAGGACUGAGAUGUGGAAGACGAAGCGAUGAGCGAAUCUAUUUUGUCAUGUAGCUCCUUGAGAUGCCUCUUUGUGACAGGAGCAUCGUCAUCGUCGUCACUUUGAACUUGAAACGGACUAUAAUAGACCGAAUCAAAAGUCAUAUUCUCCCCGCCAAGGAGAGGUUCUUCUUCCUCUGAAGCAUGAGCAGGAGAAGAUGGUGGUGGUGAAACUGGAGGCUCGGUAGGAGUAGUAGUUUCGGGUUGGGUGGUGCGUUCGGUUGUUGGUGUGGGUUCGGGUGCUGAGGUGGAUUUUGGUGCGUCAGUAUGAACCCCCGUAUCAGAUACGUUGGUUCUAACAUCUGCAGUGGUGGUGGUUGUUGCUUCGGUAAAGAUUGGUGGUGGUAUUGGGAUGGAAGUAGGUGGUAUUUGAGUGGUGGAGGUUAUGGGGGGAAUAGAAAAAGGAAUUGUAACGGGUGGAGAAGAGAUAGGAGAAGUAGAAAUAUGUAUCUCUGGGGUAGGCGAACGUGGUGGAGUGUUGCCACGUUGAGAUCCAUCCGAAUCAGAACCCUUGUCCUCAGAUUCGCUUGAGGAUGAAGCGAUAAUCAACUUUCGUCUCGGUUGGGUUUUUCUCCUCUUCUGUGGUGGAGACUGAGUAGCCUUGGUGGUUUUCCUUUUCUUGGGAGAUGAGCCUUUUGCUCCCUUUGCCACAUGUUUUCCCUUAUCAGCCUUCUUGCCUCUAGGAGCAGGCUUGUCUGUGUCAUGAAUUGAUUUCAACAUCUCUGGAGUAAGAUCCUUCGAACCAGAACGUCUGAACUCCUUGUACGUUUGAAUGAUCCGGCNNNNNNNNNNNNNNNNNNNNNNNNNNNNNNNNNNNNNNNNNNNNNNNNNNNNNNNNNNNNNNNNNNNNNNNNNNNNNNNNNNNNNNNNNNNNNNNNNNNNNNNNNNNNNNNNNNNNNNNNNNNNNNNNNNNNNNNNNNNNNNNNNNNNNNNNNNNNNNNNNNNNNNNNNNNNNNNNNNNNNNNNNNNNNNNNNNNNNNNNNNNNNNNNNNNNNNNNNNNNNNNNNNNNNNNNNNNNNNNNNNNNNNNNNNNNNNNNNNNNNNNNNNNNNNNNNNNNNNNNNNNNNNNNNNNNNNNNNNNNNNNNNNNNNNNNNNNNNNNNNNNNNNNNNNNNNNNNNNNNNNNNNNNNNNNNNNNNNNNNNNNNNNNNNNNNNNNNNNNNNNNNNNNNNNNNNNNNNNNNNNNNNNNNNNNNNNNNNNNNNNNNNNNNNNNNNNNNNNNNNNNNNNNNNNNNNNNNNNNNNNNNNNNNNNNNNNNNNNNNNNNNNNNNNNNNNNNNNNNNNNNNNNNNNNNNNNNNNNNNNNNNNNNNNNNNNNNNNNNNNNNNNNNNNNNNNNNNNNNNNNNNNNNNNNNNNNNNNNNNNNNNNNNNNNNNNNNNNNNNNNNNNNNNNNNNNNNNNNNNNNNNNNNNNNNNNNNNNNNNNNNNNNNNNNNNNNNNNNNNNNNNNNNNNNNNNNNNNNNNNNNNNNNNNNNNNNNNNNNNNNNNNNNNNNNNNNNNNNNNNNNNNNNNNNNNNNNNNNNNNNNNNNNNNNNNNNNNNNNNNNNNNNNNNNNNNNNNNNNNNNNNNNNNNNNNNNNNNNNNNNNNNNNNNNNNNNNNNNNNNNNNNNNNNNNNNNNNNNNNNNNNNNNNNNNNNNNNNNNNNNNNNNNNNNNNNNNNNNNNNNNNNNNNNNNNNNNNNNNNNNNNNNNNNNNNNNNNNNNNNNNNNNNNNNNNNNNNNNNNNNNNNNNNNNNNNNNNNNNNNNNNNNNNNNNNNNNNNNNNNNNNNNNNNNNNNNNNNNNNCCCGAACAUGACCUCCUGUAACAAGUUUGUUGAUAUCCUUGAAAUGGAGAUGGGAAAGCCUUCGGUGCCAUAGCUAGCUUUCAUCAGAAUGUGCGUAGUAAGUCUAAAGUACUGUAACUUUGUUGAUGUUUGCACGGUUGUGUUUGUCUGUAACGCCUUAUGUUCAAAUCUAAUGUCUUUAAUUUUCCUUAUGAUUCCGACAUUAUCAUACAACUAGAUUCAAUUUGAUCCACACCAUACCAGCUUCAUAAGUACAUCUCUUCCUUAGUAAACGUCUUUUUAGCGAAGCCGUCAUAUCAGAACAUCGAAGUACUCAUGCAUGGAGUACCUCAUAGUUCUUUUCCUUUCCGAAGAAAUCCCCGAAGUACCACUCGUGUAGUACGUCAAGUUCAAUCCAAGGAUUCAUACGGUUGAUCUAUCACUGAGGAAUGUGUACAUAAGGGUGAUAUAUAAUCAAGGUUCUACAGGUUUAGAAUUGAUGAUUCCACUUUAACUUCCUUUCCUCAUGAGGAUGCGAAUGAAAAGAAGAAUCAGUUAUUCGACUAUCUUUUCAAUCUUAAUUAUAUACGACUUGUAUACACGAGAUUUUGAUCGUUGAACCAUGUAUGAGUUCUAACAUGAACUUCAGGACGGAGAACUGCCCAAGACUACGAGUAAUCGCAUCGUCAUGUGAACAAACUUAGAACCCAGUAUGACUCCUGUAAUCAGAUCGCCCUACAGUCUAAACACCUACGGAGAUACAAGAACAGCCCGGACAACUUAGCGAACUACACAAAAAUAGAAUUGGAAGACUAGGCUUCUCACCCUGGAGAACUCCGGUCUUAUUCUUCUAGAGGUCGACGGAUUGCAUCAUAUGUACCUCAGCUAUUGAGGACUCCGUCCAGAUUUUCCAUUAGAAAUCGUUGUCUCUGCCUCGCAUAGAUGAAUUGGUUGAGCAAAUGCAAGGAAAGAAUUGUUUUCAGAAAUGGACCUGAGAUCCGAAUAUCACCAGUUUGAGUGUUAGGGAAGGACGUCCGGAAGACUACCUUCUGAACUCGAUGCGGACACUUCAAGUCCGUAGUGAUACCCCUCGGAUAGGACCAAUACGCCCAUAGUAUUCAAGAGCUAAAUGGGUAGGGUACGUCUUUCUUACUUGGAUCAGUUCGUCAUUUCUCCAUGUAAUGACUUACUUAUCUACCCUCGUAGUAAGAAGGAACCCAUGGAAACAUUACCCUUAGAGAAACUUCUCGCAAAGUUCUCUGAACACGAGUUUUGGAAUUAAAGAGUCAAAAUUUCCUAAGACACACUAUUAGUGAUGUGGAAAUCCUUGAGUACUCUGUCAAUUUAUCCAAAACCGUUGGGAAUUGGUCGGCACCAAAGACGCCGACAGAAAUUCACCAAAUUCUAGGUCUUACAGACCUACUGUCAUAGUUCAUCAAGAACUCCUCGCAAAUCACAGAAACCCUUACGACUUUGACCCAGCAGAGGGUGGCCUUUGACUGGGAAGUUAAGCAAGAAAAAGAAACCUUGGAAAUUCCAAGUGAGAGACCAAAUUCUUUAGGAAGUCUCACUCUGGGAAUGGCAUAAUACGCUUCGUAAAGCGUGGAAAGCUAAAUCCAAGAUAGUCAAGACCCUCGAGAUCCUUACCAGAAUCGGUCCUGUAUCUCGCAUACUAGAUCUACUCCGCGAACUCAGUAACGUACAUUUUACCCUUCGCGUCCCGAUCUUGAAACCGUACCUUUCCGUCGGGACUCUCGUAAUCCCACUCGACGAGAUCGAGAUUCACGAGAUCCUCGCCUUCGUAUAAGAACCGUAGUGACCCUCGCUCGAGAGGUCAAGCGGACGAAGCAGCGCCGCCUCCGUUUAGUGAAGGUUCGUUGGGAUACCAACCCAGGACCCGAAUUAACUUAUGAGCGCUAGAACCAAUCGAUUAGGAAGUUUCGACCUCAUGACUCGAUCAUUCACACCUACUUCCUUACCUAAAUUCUAAUUUUGGGACGAAAUUCCCUCUAAUGAGGGGAUUAUGUGACAACCCGGAAUUUUCAUUUGGUCAAACCCUAAAAGUCAAUCACUCCAUAUUAAAAGUCAAGCUCACUUUUAUUUGUUUAUAGUAAAUUAAGGUUCGUUUGAUUAUUUUAAUAAUUAAUCUUUAAACGAACGGGUGAACGGAUGGGCCGUCUCGAGUCUUGAAAUUUCUAAACCGCGAAUACCACGUAGCUUAGAAGUUCACGGCCAAACUUUUAUGUUUGGGCCGUAAACUCCCUCAAAAAUCGUAAACUCAUGCCUUAAGCAUGAGUUUACUCCCCAAAGUAGAUCACUUUUCAUUUUUACCCAAAAGAGUAAACUCCAAAAACUCCCUCAAGUAUCAUCCAAGUUUUUGCUCAAAAUCUUCAAACUAGUAAGUGUUUCUAGCCCUUUCAAGUUAGUAUAACACUUAAUCUAGUGAUUGUACAUCUUUUCAUCCAUCCAUUUAUGUGUUUUGACUAGAUUUCCAAAACACCAAGAACACCAAGAACACACACUAGUGUUCUUGGACUUUAAGUUCAUUUCAAGCUUCCACAAAGUAAGUACUUCUAUCCUAGAGUCAUUUAAAGCUUGCUAUACAUAUUUAUACCAAGGAAAAGUCCCAAGAACACCAAGAACAAAGUGUUCACGGUUUUGGGAGGCUCCCAAAACCGUAAACACCAAGUUUUGUGCCAAGAGGUGCUUUAGGGUGUCUAGAUGCUUCAUUAUGCCUUAGGGACUUGUCUAGAUCCAUCCUUGAUGUGUUUAUCACAUAAAAGAACAAGAAAAAAAUCAUUUAUAUGUUUUUACGGUUUUGGGAUCUCCCAAAACCGUAAACACCCCAAAAGGUGUUUAAAUGUCCCAUAUCUACUCCUUAUUCCUAGAAUCUAACCUAGGCUAUUACCUUGAAGUGUUUAGGACUUGAAAACACCAAAAUACCUUAGUCCAUGAGAGUUUACGGUAGUAAACUCAUGGAGAAAUGGUCCUUAGACCGUAAACUCCAUUUAGGAGUGUUUUGAUGCCACACAACACUUCCUAAGGCUUAAACAUGAAGUAGGAAUGCUUGGAAUAGCUUAGAAAACUUCAAAACAACAAAUGGUCACAAGGUUAGGAGCUUACGGAUGUAAAACCAAGAGUUUACAACCGUAAACUCAAGGGGUGUUGGUCUUUAGGGAGUAAACUCAUUUUAGGGGUUCCCUUGAACCCUAAAACCCAAUAGCCUUGCCCUACAACACUUAGAUGCAACCCGUGAGACUUAUAACACUUGUAUAAGUGUUUAGCAUGUCCUAGGGUGUCUUGACUAGUUUAUUAGUUGUUUAAAGACUAAUUGGAUACAUAUAUGUGAUAUUAUAUGUUAACUAGGAUCAUAGAGUGUGUUCAAGACUUCACUUGACACCUAGCAGUCCUACCUCUUCAUUCAUCCAUACCACUCACAACAGGUGAGUUCAUACCCCUUAAUAAAUGUUUUAAAUGUUUUUAAAUGCUUUAUGAGGGGGGAUAUAAGUAGAAUCAUGCUAGUUAUUAUAUCAAUCACAUGUGAUUAAUAAGCAGCAUUUAAAUCAUUUACUACUCAUUAGCCGUUUUACCAAAUAGUUUCCUUCAAAUGGUUUUUCAUAAACAUUUUAUAGGUUUAAAACUCCUUAUUAAACUGUUCAUUUUACUCUGUAUGUUUCAUUUCAAACUCAUUUACAAUUGUGUUUCAAACAAAUGUUUCUUUAUACUUAAACUGUUUUAUCAAACCCAUGCUUUCAACCCGUUUUAUAGAUUGACAUCAAGUCAAUCUUUUCUUAGAUAAUAAUUAUGUUCAAAGGUUUUACAAAACUUAUUUUAUGCUUUUAUAUUAUCAAUUGCAUGCCUAUAUAUGUAUAGUUAUAUAAGAAAUGUUUAAAAGACUUAGGAAGGCUAUCCACCCUAUUUCCUUUUCGCGCUUGAGAUGUGGUCUGGUGGGAUAUCGGGUACCCGUCCGAAGGUCAUUUAAAUAUUAGUUAUAUAUCAUGUGUAUAUAUAUAGUCAUAAAGGUUUUUCCAGUUCAUUUAGUACCCUUGGGUAGCAAGGGUAUACUUCCAUGUUCAUACGUACCAGUUACAUUACUAGUAAGCUACCAUAUGGGUAGUUUACGAAGAUACUAGAACUAUUACUAGAACACGAUAUCAUACAAUGAGUCAGUUCAUUCAUGAGUCAAUACUUGCUAGAUAGAGAGAGAACACACGUUACAGCUAGUACACACAGUACAUUACUAUACUAUUACAUAGAUACAUCUACAUGAGUACAUUUACAUGAAUACGUUUACAUAUAUACGCUUACAUUAGUACAUUUACAUAGAUACAUCUACAUGAGUACAUUUACAUGAGUACACUCACAUUAGUACGUUUACAUAGAUAACAUAUGAUGAAUUACUAGUACAUUUUAUAUGUAUAGAUUCUGUUAUAUAAUCCUCAUUCUUAUCUUUACUUUGUGAUACAAUCACAUAAUCGGCGAGAUAGAUUGGAUUUAAUAUCCUAGUACCAAAGGAUACUUUGCGGGAUUAACCAUUCCUAAAAUCUCUGUUAGCUACAGAGGUAAAAGCACAUCCACGGAUGUCAACGGUUGAUACCAUUACAGGUAUACUUUAAGGGACUAACUAUUCCUAUACCCAGCUGUUAGCAACAGAGGUAAAUGUACAUCUACGGAUGUCUUCAGUUGACACUGUUAGUUAUCCUAGUACAAAAGGAUAAUACUUAGGUUAUUUAUAUUAUUCCCUCUAUCUUGUGACUCAUUCACAUAACCGAUGAGGUGAAUUAUUUGAGUAUCCUAGUACCAAAUGAUACAAAUUCUUGUGAUAAUAAUAGUAGCAGCACAGUUAAGUCUUGGUAGAAGACUACAUUCAGAACAGUUGGGUCUUGGUAGAAGACUACAUUUAGAACAGUUAAGUCUUGGUAGAAGACUACAUUUAGAACAGUUAGGUCUUGGUAGAAGACUCCCUUUUAUAAUAGUAGGAAUCAUAGGGAUUUCUAGGGUUUUUCAAACGUUUACAGUUGUUUUACAAACAUUUUCAUACUUACACGAACUUUCUUUCAAAACAUUUUCAAGUCUUUCAUUACAUGUCAAACAAAUACUUACAUACAAAUUAAGACACAUUAAUACUUAUGAUCUCACCAGCUUUAAAGCUGAUACUCUCUUUCAAAAUAACUUGUAUCCUCAGGUCAACAGUAGACAGGUACCGAUGCAAGGUUUAGAGAAGAUGGAGCUCGUUCAAGACUCAUCUUUCAUUUUGAUUAUACUUUAGUGUCUAUUAUAAUUUGACAGAACACUCUUGUAUUAAAAUUAUAUUAUUAAUGCAAUGGAUGAUGUUGUUGCUUGUUUACUACUUUUCAUUGUUGUGAUACUGUACAUGACGUCCUCCGCCCCAGAACGUUUCCGCCGUUCAUGGUUUUGGGGUGUGAUAGCGUGGAUAUUCGCCUAGUCAUACAUACUUAUAAAGCUAGCAUUUUUUUCUUGAAUCUCAUGCAUUUGAAACCCCAUUUUUUAACUUCCUCAAACCACAUUCAUUUGAAACCCUCUUUUUUAAUUAAUGCAACUCAAAAGUUUUCUUAAUUAUGAUAUAACACUCAAAAGUUUUAUAACUUAUAUUAUGUUUAAUUAGCAUUUAGUGAAAAGUUUACUAUAAAAAGGUCAAUUUUUUGGGAAGACAUUCAUACAAAUUAUAUACAAAUUUCAGAAAGAAAACAAACUUAAAGGUUUUUGUGUUGGGUUUAGGUCUUAUGACCACUUUUGGAGAUAUGUUAUUAUAUUAGAGCUUUAAUUUGUAAGUUUGUUAUACUAAUUCGUUUUUAUAUUUUCUUCGUUUUUGGAUUAUUGUAAUACAGUUGUUGUAUAUUGUGGUUUAAUCGUUAAUAUAUUGAUCAUAUGUUAUAUAGGGUGAUGUCGAAAAUAUUUUAAAGACAAAACUUCAAAAAUGGUCCCUGUGGUUUUUGAAAAUAUCAAGUUUAGUCCCUAAGUUUAAAAAACCUCACGGAUCGUCCCUGUGGUUUCAAAACUUUUAACAUUUGGUCAUUCAGGCUAACUCCGUUACCAUUUAGCCGUUAAGUCAGGGACAUUUUUGUCAUUUCACUUCUUAGGGACCAUUUAUGAGGUUUUGUAUUCCUUUUUUUUUAAAUAAAUAAUAAAUAAAUAAAAUUUAAUAUGCAAGGGGUCCCACCUCUCUCUCUCUCUCUUGAGGUUUUUGCCUCCAUCUUGUCAUUACCAAUUCUGAUUACCAACCGGAUGGUGGCGUUUUUGAUAAGGAAAAGAUCUGAUUUCUCGAUCGAUUCUCCCUCUAAUGUCCACAAGCAAACACUUUAGCCUCGCUACUUCUGCUUCUAAUCCUACUUAACUCUGAACUCUUCUCAUCAAUUGUUGAUUCAAUGUUUUCAAUCUAACUACUUCGUCUUCUAAUGAAGCAGCACGUGCCUUCUUCUUUUCACGAUACUUUCUCAUAGCUUACCGGUUUCCUGAUGGACGAUUCUUACCUUUUUUGUCGGAGGAUUCAGCGGUGUCUUCUGUAGGGGUUUUGUCGUCAUCGCUCGUAGCAGGUAGGAUUUUGGUGUGGACAUGGUAACAUGUGUGCGUGUGUGAUGAAUCAGGUCCCGGAGGGUUGCAUGUGUGCUUAUGAGUACACGCGUGUGUGUCGUUGAAGAUUUCAUCGAAGAAGUUGUUCAUGGAACCACUGCUCGGGAUAUCACCCACAAACAUCUCGUGGUUGGAGAAAUCGAGUUCUCCAUCAUCCAUUGCUUCCGAUUUGUAACCUAUAAACCCUAGAAACACAGAUAAUGAAGAUAAAUAAACACAGAAACUAAUUUUGAUGCAAAUUGAGCUCUAAAUAGAAGUAGCCACAAAAAAUGAUAACUAAUCAAGUAAUCAUCUAGAGAUUAUCUCUGGAUAUGCUAAGAAUUUUAACAGAAUUCAACUAUAAUCGUCUAAUUGAUCAAUACACAGUAACUGACCAAUUUGAUUGAAGAAAUUUACCGAUAAAGAAACCCUGGAACUAAGUGAACUGCUUAAUUGAGUAAUUAAGCAAUUGAGCAUUAUAGAUGAAGAUGGUAAUUUGGGGCGAAAGAGAAAAUCCUUUUCAUAACAAUGUCAAUGGAUGAAAAAGAACGAUCGAAGAAGAUGGGCCACUGGCAGAGAGAUUCCCGGAAAGGAAGAGAGAGUCCUUUUUUUGUAAAAGAAAAGUAAUAGAAAGGCUAAAGGGGUGGGACCCCUUGCAUAUUAAAUUUUAUUUAUUUAUUAUUUAUUUUUAAAAAAAAAAAAGAAUAGAAAACCUGAAAAAUGGUCCCUGAGGAGUGAAAUGACAAAAAUGCCCCUGACUUAACGGUUUAAUGGUAACGGGGUUAGCCGUAAGGACCAAAUGUUAAAUGUUUUGAAACCACAAGGAUGAUCCGUGAGGUUUUUUGAACUUAGGGACUAAACUUGAUAUUUUCGAAAACCACAGGGACCAUUUUUGAAGUUUUGUCUAUUUUAAAUAUGUUUUUUUGUUUUGUAAUUGUACCGUUUCAAAAGGAUAAUUAAUUAAAACUCAUACAUAUGUUAUACUUUCAAUCUCUCUCUCUCUCUCUGUCNUCAAAUGCUUUUAAUAAUGAUUGUAAAAAUUUCAACAUGUGUUACUUAAUUGAUUAAUUAAUAAAAAUAUUAAUGUUUUGAAACUCCUAACUCCUAAACUUAUAUUAUUUAAUUUGUUAGUUAACUAAAAUAUUUUUCCUACAUAAAUAUAACAUUUUUUAUGUUUGGUUACUCGUAUUUGUUAAUGUAAUUAGAAAACAAGGUGUACAUAGAAUGACUACUUCAAUUUCGCAUAAGAAUCGAUACCACUAGAUAUGUAUGUUGUCUUUAACCGGUGGUGGGAGAUCCACAUACCCUUUUUAAUUAUUUAUAUUAAUGCUUAGUAAUAUCUAUUUAUUAUUCCUAUUCACCUUAAUUUUUAGGUAAAAUUAAGGAAGAGGAUUCUCGGCGCACCAACAUAAAGUCAAACGUACAGCUUGCAAAAUAUGUAAUUAAAAUUAAAUAUCAUAUUUACUAAUCGACUUAUUUUAAAACUCUUCAUGACAUUUAUGUAUAAUGAUAUAUUUUGUAUGACUUCAUUUUUAAUUUUAAUGUUUAAUAUUUGAAAGUUCAAUUAUGAAACAUUGGAUGUUUUGUUGGAAUAUAAAUAGUAUAAUACAAAGUUUAUUAGUUCAAUAUUGUUUAUUAAUAGCUCAUUUAAAACAACUUAUUUCUUAUUUUAUCUAAAAAAUAUUAUCGGACAUAAGAAAAGUAGAUUAUAUUAAUGUUAUACAAAAACUUAUAAUAUAUAUGAGAUAUUAUAAAAGUAAAAAAAAAGUUUAUAAGGUAUAGACUAUAUUAGAUAGUAUCAAAAUAUAAAUUGAUGGAUUUUUUAUGUUAUUUGAUAACUCGGUUAAUGCCCAAAACAUGACUAAAAACGUAAAUUUCAACAUGUUUCUAUUUUUUCCCAUAAUUAUUUUAACCACUUAAAUGCAUUCUUACACAACACGCGAGGUUACACCUAGUAUACUUAGGAAGCAUUUUUUUCAUCAUAUUUAUUUGAAACUCCCAUGAAUUUUCAGUUUCUUCCUAAUAAUGAUUAUAAGUUGGUUGAUAAGGUUAAAUAAAUAUCAAACCUAAAAUGUAAUCAUAUAUAAACUAAAUUUCAAUAUUAAAAGAGUAUUUUACUUGUACUUAUAAAGUUAUGUUUUUAACUUUUAACAUAUUAUACUUAAUUUGUUAGUUUUAAUAUGAUGUUGUAUGUAAACCAUUAUCAUUUUAAAGCUACAACUUUUGAACAAUUUGUAUAAAAUACUUAAAUUGUUAAUUUAAAUAUAACAUUACAGGUCAACUUAAAUAUAAAUUUUAGGUCAACUUAAAAAACCUAAAUAAUAUUUUGUAAAUAGUUAAAAGUGAUAAAUUGUAGUGUCUUUGUAAUAAUGAUUAUAAGUUGGUUAAAAGGUUAAAUAAAGGAAAUAUGUUUCCUUUCACCGUAUUCAUUUGAAACCCUAAUGACUUUUCAAUUUAUUUCUAAUAAUGAUUAUAAGUUGGUUAAUAAGGUUAAAUAAAUAUCAAACCGUAAUCAUAUAUAAACUAAAUUUCAAUAUUAAAAGAAUAUUUUUACUACUACUUAUAAAGUUAUGUUUUUAACUUUUAACAAAUUAUACUUAAUCUAUUAGUUUUAAUAUGAUGUUGUAUGUAAACCAUUAUCAUUUUAAAGCAACAACUUUUGAACAAUUUGUAUAAAUUACAUAAAUUGUUAAUUUAAAUAUAACAUUACAGGUCAACUUAAAUAUAAAUGUUGGUUCAACUUAAACAAACCAAUGAAUAUUUUAUAAAUAGUUAAAAGUGAUAAAUUGUAGUGUCUUUCUAAUAAUGAUUAUAAGUUGGUUAAUAAGAUUAAAUAAAUAUCAAACCUAAAGUGUAAUCAUAAAUAAAUUAAAUUUCAAUAUUAAAAUAAUAUAUUUACUUUUGCUUAUAAAGUUAUGUCUUUAACUUUUAACAUAUUAUACUUUGUUUAUUAUAUUUAAUAUGUUGUAUGUAAACCGUUAUUUGUUUAAAGCUACAAUUUUUGAACAGUUUGAACAAAAUACUUAAAUUGUUAAUUUAAAUAUACAUUACAGGGUCAACUUAAAUAUAAAUUUUAGUUCCACUUAAAAACCCAAAGAAUAUUUUGUGAAUAGUUAAAAAUGAUAAAGUGUAGUGCUAAAUGGAAAAACUAAAUUAUUAUCUCAAUUUAACUAAAAUAUUUCCUAAAGAUAUUUUUAUAAUCGUUAAAAAUUUUCAAAUAAGUAGCUUAAAAUAACUUAUAAUAACAACAGUUAAAAAUAACUCUAUAUAAAUGAUUAUAUUGUUACAUUUAAAAACAAAAAACAAUUUUGAUGUUCUAAAUAAUUACAAUGAUAUAAAUUAAAACGUUAAACAAAUAAAGUUUAAAAGGUAAUUAACAAUAACGACAACUAUAAAUGACAUUAAACCAUAUAUUAUAUUUAAUUUUAUUCAUGAGUAACCCGUGGUAGAGGUCAUUCAAACGAUUGAGAUUAUACAGUUUUAAUAGAUGUAUAUAUUAUCAUAUAAUUCAUAAUAAUCAAUAUAUUAUAUCAACUUAGUAUACAGAUUCUUAUAUCAAAUUUAACGACGUUAUUGUUAUAUUUUAAAAACAUAUAUUUGUAAAGAUUUCAACUCUAUAGGUCUUUCUGUACAACGCAUGAGAAUUCGCCUAGUAUCUAAUAUAAUACAUAUCAAAAUAUUUAAACCUCAUACACUUGAAACUCCAAUGUCUUUUCGAUUGUCUUUUAAUAAUUAUUAUAAUUAUAAAUCAUUAAUAUUAUGAUAAAUUUUGAUAUUAUGACAUAUGUAAGUUAAAAAUAUAACAUUAGGUGGAAGUUAAAAGAGUCAUGACAUUAAAUAAGCAAUCAAUGAAAUUAAACAGUUUUAUCAUAUAUGUACAUAUAAAUAGUUAACUACAAGCAUCCAAAAAAACACUUCAUUUUUAGUAAAAGUUUCACUAUUGAGUUGACGUACGCUAAGAUAAUUAAGCUUAAUCUAGUGAAAGAGUAUUGGGUUAUCCAUGUGCAAUUGUGUAGGAUAUGGGAAACGCUGAAUCAUAAAAAUAAAAAACGAUAUAAUAGGGUUGGAGAGGGUAUGUAUUGAUAAUAAGUUUUUUUUUAUUUUAUUUUUAUUUUAUAGUUAUUAAUGAUAGAUGUAUAAAUAUGAUGUUAAAUAAAUUAAUCUUUGAAUUAUGUGUCGUGCAUUUUGUUAGGGUGAAUCAAUUCAGAUUUUCAUCACAAAGAAAAAUAUUGACAAGUACAAAGUUAUUUUGGAAGAAAAAGAUGUCUACACUAUUAAGAAUUUUAAAGUCGCCAAAUAAAUAUGAUUCUUCGUAAAAAUGUAUUUUUCUUUGGCUAUUCCAGAUAGACAAUCUACACUGUUAUAAAUGGGUUUCCUUGUAAAAAUGUGUUUUUCUUUGGUUGAUGAUUAAAUACAAUUUAUAUGUUUUAUAUAAUCUCAGAAGUUUUUUUGAAAAUAAAAAAGUUACUAACUAUAUGGAUUUAAUUUUCACUAUUUUAUUUCCUUUUUAUGUUUCAAUUUUUUUAAAUGUUCUAACAUUCUGAUGAUGAUCAAAAAGUUAAUAACUAUACGGGUUUAAUUUUCACUAUUUUAUUACAUUUUAUGUUUCAAGUUUUUUUAAGCUUCUAACAUCAUCAUUAUCGUUUAAAUAAUUGACAUCACAUCUUAUUAUAUUAACCCUUAAUCUGUCUAGGUAAUUAUUUAGUUAUAUAUUAUCAAUAUUAGACAUUAUAUAUAAUUUUAGUUUUUAGUGUUUUUUUAUGCUUCAACUUUUAUUUUUAAUCUUUGAAGUUUUACUUUGUUUUUGUUAUUCAAUUCAUUAUUAGUUAAAAUAUUAUUUAAAUUAGCUUUAGUGAAAUAUUAUGAAUAACAUAUAUAGAAAUAUUGGAUACCUAAUAAUAUUCAUAUAUAAUGAUAUUCAUAUAUUUUAGUUCCUUUUAAUAUUGUUUUACAUAGCAAAACUUAGUAUUAUCCACUAUGUUUAUUCUCUUACAUUUUAGAUUUUGAAUUUAUUAAUGUAAAAAUGUUUCCUUAUGUUUUAAUGUUACUUAUAAUAAGUUAAACUUGUGUUAAUUAACCACACAAUAAUUACAAAAUAAUACACAAUCUAAGAAUAGAAGCCUUCAUUAUGAGUCGAAUGUCCACUAUGUUUUUAGUUAAAUUCUUAUUGAAGUAUUAAUUAUAUAGGAUAUGUUUCAUUUUAAUCCCUAUUAAAAUAAUUUUUGGGUUCGUCUCUAUUUACAACUUAAAGUAUCCUACAACCCAAACAUCUUAGGAUUAUUCUAAAUAACAUAUAAAUUCAGUAUUUUAACUUGGCAAUAUAUUUCUUACACACGAAGAUUCGCUUAAUACAUGAAAUAAAAGAGUAAAUAGAAAUGCUAGCAAUAUAUUAGUAUAUAAAUGGGUAAAAAAAGCAUAUCACAUAUAGAAUUCAAACACUUUCUACAAUAAAAGAAAUAAAAAAUAUAUAUAAAUAGUUUUCAAUAACCGAUUUAAAUUAUUGAAAAAAUUGGUAACCCACGUUAUCCUUAAUUUCAACAUCUCAUUUCAUCUAACUUUUUACUUUGUAAGGCUAUACAGAAUGGUCGGUCGCUAAGGAAUCGUCAAACUCGCUAUGAAGAAGAGAAUACCGCCCCCUAGCACUCGCUAAGCUAUUGAGUGCUCGUUAUGUGUUUGGCAGAAAAGAUUGGAGACUUUUGAUUGGUUGGAGCAUAUUUCCCAUGCAUUGCUAUAUAAAACUGUCCCCUUCCAAUAUGCUUCCAAAAUUAAAUUGCAAAGUAAAUCUUCAAGACUUCAACAACCUCACACUUUAAUUUAUACGGUUUUAAUAUUUUAAACCUCCAAAAUUAAAUUUCCAACUUAACUUUUCACCAUUUUUUUUUAUUUAAAUACAAAAAAAACAUCUUUAGAAAAAAAAACUCAUAACAUUCAAAUACUAUAUGGGGCUCUAAAAAAACUCAUAACAUUCAAAUACUAUUUGGGGCCAGAAAUGCACCCCAUAUUCAAAGUUUUAACAUGAUCAUACUAUUUAUUAUUUAAUUUAAUAAAUAUACUCCUCCCACAAAGAUAUAUGUAUGAUAUGUAAUUUAAUCCUUUUAUUAAAGAAUUAUAAAAACGCAAUGAGGAAUGAGGAAGGUAAUUUAAGUUUAUUAUAAUGNNNNNNNNNNNNNNNNNNNNNNNNNNNNNNNNNNNNNNNNNNNNNNNNNNNNNNNNNNNNNNNNNNNNNNNNNNNNNNNNNNNNNCUAUAAAAUUUAGUUAAAGCUAUGUUUCUGUUUUAGAUUUUGGAGUAAAUCCGUUUUGAACAGCAGGUCUGUUUUAGAGACCUUGCUGUGAUUACUCUUUUCUCAACUCAUAGCUUCAUUACUUCUCCUUUCUAACCUUUAGUCCUUCUAAGAUGGAUUUUAAAAGUUUAAAAUUUUUGCAAGUGUGCUAUUGAAAAUGAAGAUAAACCCAAUUGUGCUACUGAAAAUGAAGAGCUUGUUCAGGUAUCUCAAUUUCCAGACAUACCCUUUUGGGUUUUUCACUUUCCUGAAAUACCCUUUUUGAUCUUUUACAAUUUCCAAAAAUACCCUUCUUGGUGCCUAGGAGUUACAGUGUUACCAGUUGCAGUUGUAAUAUAUAUAUAUAUAUAUAUAUAUAUAUAUAUAUAUAUAUAUAUAUAUAUUAAAACAAAAAAAGAAUUAUUUCAUAAUAAUUAAAUUAAAAAGAAAAUGAAAUGCUAUGAAUAUUACCACUCCCUACCAAAUGCUAAGGUUAGAUGCUAAAUUAUCAAAAAUGAUGUGGCACUCUAAAAUCUAAUAUGGCAAGAUGCCAAGAAUGUUACCACUCCCUUUAACCUAAAAACUGAUACUUAAAAUAUCCACAAUGUAUUGACCUAAUUAAAAUUAAUUAAAAUUUAAUUGAUUGACACAUUAUUAUUUUCCUAUACUAAAAAAAUCCUACUAUAAACUCUUCAAAGUUUAUUGGAUCAUAUUUUUAGUUAUUAAAAGGUUUCAUAUCUUCCAUUAAACUCCAGCCAAAAUAUACAUUGAACUCUUCAAAGUUUAUUGAAUCAUACUUUUAGUUAUUAAAAUGUUUCAUUUUUCAAUUGAAAUCUAUAUUCAUUGAAUGUCAUACAAUCAUAAAAUUCAAUUCAUUGAAUCCAAAUUAUACAUGCCACAUCUUUAAACUUUCUCUACAAACUAUCCAUUAUGCAUACUCUUACCACUCUCCAUGUCAUGCCCAAAGUAAUGAGUUGGCUGCUUGCCACAGCAUACACACCAACUCCUACGGGAAUGUUGUAGAGGUGGUGUUGUAUUAACGGUGACAUAUCGAUGAGGAGAACCAUGGCCUCUGCAACACUAAAUCAAAAAGAAUUUCACUCAAUUCCCCUUCCCACGUUGGAGCUUUAAUAGUGAGGUGGGCGAAUGCUGUGAGGACUAUACCCACCACCUUUAAUAUGCACUAAGUUUGUAGAUAUAAAAAUGCUAAACGUUUCUAUAUCUACCUAUCUUGUGUUCCUUCCCAGCCUUCUAUUCAUUUAAUUAAAAACAGUUGUCUCCAUUUUAUUGUUUUACUAGUUUGAGAAUGUAAAAUGAUGACAAAGGUUUUAAUAUUCAUAAAAUUAAAAACAAUUGUCUCCAUUUUAUAGUUUUAUUAGAUUGGGAGUGCCAAAACUAAAAUGAUGACCAAGGUUUUAAUAAUAUUGAAUAGAAGGAUGGGAAAACACAAAAAUAAUAAGUUCUAAUUAAUCUAAAAAUAUACGUAAACAAGCUUCACAAAAACAAAGCAUAAUAAAAUUGUUGAACAUAUGUUUUUUUUAAAUGUUAAAAUUGUUCUUAAACAUAGUAAUUACAUUCCAAUAAAACCUUCAGAAAUAUAUGUAAAAUUUCAUAACAUUGAACACAUGAUUCUGAGAUGUAAAACAUGUUUUUUCAUAAACUAUAUGUGGAAAACUUAGAUAUUCCACUUGGUGAAAUAAUUAAAAAAGAUUAGGUACCAACAAAUAUUAGAAAAACAUGAUUAUCAGCAUCAAACAAAAGUAACACAAAAAUCUGAAAAGUUGGAUGUCUUAGAUAAAAAGCAAUAAAACCUGAUGAAGUUACCAAACAAAACUUCAACCCUACCAGCACUACAGAAUCAAAAAGCUACCAUCAGUGACUAGACAAUAUACAGCUCCAUCAUAAAGGUCAAUACCAACUCCAUGGCUGCAGAAGGUGAUGAAUGAAUGAAAGAAGCUAUCCUACUGUCUACUUAGAUCUCUGCCUCAUCUUUCGUCGCUUCCUCUUUAGUCUCCUCAUUCGCUUCUUCUUCCACUGCAACAAAAAGAUCCUGGAGUUAAAUGCUACUCAUCCAAAUCUACAACUCUAACAACAAAUCUAUACAGAGCUAUCAAAUUCCCCAAGCCUAAAUACUUGAAAAUCAGAUUGGUAAGAGUAUUAAAAAACUUAACAAAAACAUCCGGGAAGUGGAUGUCAGAAAACCAAAUGAAUCCAUGCAAACGCAGACAACUUUAGAAUGACUAAUCACAAAACAAGUAUUAUGUUGAUGCGAAGCUUCAGAUUCCUAGGGUUUUAGAUUGAUUAAACGAACGAUCGAAGCCAAUAACAAAACAAUUCGAGUAAUGAUGAGGAAGAAUUUUACCUUGGCACGCAUGGUUCAAGCUUUCUUGUGUUUUCGCUCUCUUUCUUGGGUUCUGAAUUUCUGAUCGGCCGAUAGACAGUGUCGAAUCAAUCUGGACGAAGAAAGGCAAGGCGUGUUGGCUUUUAUUUAUAGCUAGGGUUUGGGUUAGACCAUAGCAGUUGGGCUUUAGAUAUAUUUAAAUGGGCUUA
RNAcentral lists this long non-coding RNA (84636 nucleotides) under Lactuca sativa (garden lettuce). RNAcentral describes it as "long non-coding RNA (LSAT_LNC007418)". Lineage: Eukaryota; Viridiplantae; Streptophyta; Magnoliopsida; Asterales; Asteraceae. The record is from RNAcentral.